RNAcentral lists this long non-coding RNA (54015 nucleotides) under Gossypium barbadense (sea-island cotton). Its description in RNAcentral is "long non-coding RNA (GBAR_LNC011646)". Lineage: Eukaryota; Viridiplantae; Streptophyta; Magnoliopsida; Malvales; Malvaceae. The record is from RNAcentral.
ACGAGGUGAAGAAGAUUAACGCGAGAUGCAAAUUUCAAGCCUCGUCUUUAGAAGGCGAAGGCACUGUUGUAAGCUUGGGUUCAGAGCAUAGGUCUGAAACAUGAAAAGCUCGAAACUUGAAACACCAUCUUUAUAUAUUUGGUCUUAUUUUUGCUUUCGAAAGUGUUUAAGAAUGCUUGGGUGCUUGCUUGGUUUUUUGCCGUGGUCUGGUUCGGUUUGAGGAAAGCCGAUGACGAAGUUGUCUCGUUGUCUUUGCCUUGAGAUUACUGCCUAUAUUGUUACCAUUCGGGACCGAUCUCGAUGGUCUCGGUGGCUCUGCAAGAGGACCCCAAUGUACUGUCAUUAGCACUGCCCAAAUGUAGUGCCUGAUGGUCCCUAUUGGCGCAGAUUUGCCCUCUCACAAAAGUUGUCAAAGUGUAUGGUCCAUAAAGGCUUCAAUUAAAUCUAGAGUCGGGACCCUUUUUUACACGAAGGGCAAACACUCUCAAUGAUGUUCUUUUUCAUUCACAAAACUUGAAUCUAAAACAAAAAAAAAAAGUACUAUGAAAGUCUUUGGAUUGGUUGGAUUAUUUUGCCUCCUUUACUUUAGAAAUGAACUAAUUAGUUUUGAUACAUUAAAUCAAAGAGUAAAUUGGUUUUUGUUAAAAAUUUCAUCUUAUUCUAUAAUUAAAAACUAAUACAUUGGAAUAAGGGAAAUGUAGUACAUCAUGUGUAACUGUUUGAUUAUUUUAUUAAUUAUAUCAAUUAUAUCAGUUUUUAAUAGUUAGAAUGGAUGAACUAUUAUAUGGUGAUUUAUUUGUUAAUUUUUUAAAUGAAGUGAUAAAGAUGCAAUUACACGAACUCAAAACUUUGUUUAAAGGGAUAUCAAAUUUUUUAUCAGUUGAUUAAACUUGAGAAUUGCAAACUCAUAAAUAGAGAUUUAAUCUCGUAAAUCAGACAUUAUAACCUUGCCAUUAAGAUGCUUUAAAACAAAAAGGCAGUCAAUCUUCACUUUUAACUAGAAAUGAAAGAAUCAUAUUAGGUAAUAACCUGACCAAAACUUCACCAGAAAAAGAUUGGGAAUUUCUAAAUGUGCAAUGUCAUCCCAAGCUAAGAAAAUAGGGUGUGAAAAUUAGGCAAAAUGUGAUGUAGGAAAACAAUAAAAACUUUAUAAGUAGGUAGAAAAUCCAAGUGAUAAAGACAUACCAAGAUCUUGUUUAAAUUUUUAUGAAUAUGUUUAUGUUCGUCACCCUAUUUGUUUCCAUUUUCAACACCCGCUUUUUUAUUUUUAGUAUUUGUCAAUUUCAUAUUUUAAUUUCUUUUAUUUAUAAAAAAGGUGAUAUGUGGGUCAUAUUUGGGAUUUUUUUUUAAAAAAAGUUUUUAAGAUCAUCACUAAAUUAUUACUUUAGUUCUAUUUUGGUUAUUAAACUAUCAAUUUUUUUUAAUUUAGUUUCUAAAUUUUUCGAAAUCAAAUAUUUUGGUCACUCAAAAGUUGAUUUAGGUUUUUCUUUAUUGGUCUAAUAACAAAUUUAACCCUCUGAUGUUUAUAUAAAAUAUCAAUUUGAUCCUAAAUAUAAAAUAUUCAACAAGUUUAGCCCUUGAUGUUUACAAUAUUUGUCAUUUUAGUUUGAAUUCUAAAAAAAACUACUUUAACUUUAUCUAUAACUAAAUAAUCUAUUUCCCAUAAUUUUAUCUUAUGACAACUUGAGCUUAUUUUUUUUUUCCUAUUUCAAGUAUCAAAUUUUGUUGUUUGGGGAUUUUUUUUAUUAUUAUAAGUUGAUUGGCAGGCUGUUGCAACACUUUCCAAAGAUCUGUAAUCGACUUUGUUUCAUCAAUUUUAAUGGUUUAAAUAUCAUUAUUAUAUGGUGUUCUUUUUAUUCUUUUUUUUUCCCCUUUUUCAUGUGUUGGGUUAGUAAACAAGGUGUAUAGAAAUGGUCUAUACCAAAGAUGAUGUUAGAAAUAUUAUAUUGGAGUAGGGUAAAAUUAUAAAACUUUGAAACCUAAAACUAAGAUUUAUGGGUUAAGAAGCUUAAAUUAUUAAUUUUUGUAAAGGACAAAAAAUUACUUUGUUGAAUUUUUUAGAAUUAGAACUAAAUUGACAAAAUUUGUAAAUUUGAGGACAAACUUUGUUGAAUUAUUUAGAAUUCGAACUAAAAAUACAAAUUUUACAAACAUUGAAGGCUAAUUUUGUUGAAUAUUUUAUAUUCAGAAUCAAAUUGAUAUAAUGUAUAAACAUUAGAGGGCUAAAUUUAUUAUUAGACCAAUAAAAAGCCCAAAUCAACGUGACCAAAUUACUUGAUUUCGAAAAGUUUAAUAACUAGAUCGAAAAAAUUAAUAGUUCAAUGACCGAAAUAAAAUAAAGGUAAUAUUUAAUGUUUAUUUUUAUAAUUUACCCUUAAAUUUAAAAAUAAAAGAUUUUAUACACCUAAUUAUCUGCUUCUUGAUUCUUUUUUCAGGCAGAAUUAUAAUUAUAAUCAUUAAAUUUGAAUAAUUACAACCAAAAUCAAUAAUUACAAUGUAUAAUUAAACUAAAAAACAUAAUAAACUUAAACAAAAUCUCAUAACUUCUCUUUGAAUUAGCCUUUGAGUUUUAACUUCAUAAAGUCUCGUCUAAACACUCAUGCACUUUGAUAAUUAAGGUUUUCAGAACCAGAUUGGUCGUUGAACCAGUUAGAUCACCGAUUCUUCGCACAAUUAAAUAAAUUAUUAAAAAAUAAAGAAAAUUGAUUUAACAGUCGAUUCAAACAGUUCGAUUGACCAAUUCUAUUGAUUCAACUGCUUUAGAGAGUAAUUGGUCCAACACUUUAUUUCGGACCAAUACUCUAAUUGAUUCCUUAUCCUAUCUAAUUCUAAAAACAAUGCUGAUAACUCAUUUUUCCUCAUUUCCAUGAACUAGUGAAAGGACUUCUUUAGUUAAAAGACAAGGUUAUAAGAACUUACUUAAACAAAGCAAAUCUAAUUACAUGUCUUUCUUUUUUUUUAACAUAUUAGCUAAUUAUCUAGAAAAAGUGAUAAAAGAAUAAUUAUUUAAUAUAUUAAAGAUAAGAUUUUUUCAAUUCCACAAAUAUAUAUUAUUAAUUGGUAUUUAAAAAAGACACAUCAGUAAUUUCUUAACCCGUUUGAAGAGUUAAAAGCCAUCAACAAUUGUGGAAGCCCGUUUUAUUCAUCAACUUAGCCCAUAUUGGCAUCGUUAUUUUGUUUUUAUUGGGCAAUUGUUGUUCCCAAACGGCCCAUAUUUGGGAAAGAGUUUUUGUAAAAAAAAAUAAAAUUGGGUAAAUUAACAUUUAGUCAUUGAAUUAAAUUUUUUUUUAGCUUAAGUUGGAAAUUGGUAAUUUUCCCAUUUUGGUUGUCAAACUUGAAAUCUGAGGAGAUAAUUUAAGAUUGUGUCAAGUCAUCAGUUAAAAUUUUAAAAUUAUAUGUAAAAUCUAAAAAGUAUACCAAAAAAUAUUAAUUUUUUUAAAAAAAAUUUAAUUGACGAUAUAACAUAAUUUCAAAAUAUCACAUAACCAUAUCUUAAUGAAAUUAAAGUUUAAGGACGAAAUUGAAAAAAGCUACUAAAUUUGAAGUAUGAAGGUGAAAAAAAUGAUGAUAUACACUAAACUGGAACUGUGAAUUGAUGACUAUCAGUUGAAGCAUAUAAAAAACAUAAAUAGAUGAUAUUUUCCCCAUUUCACUUUUUACAAGUUUGAAAUGGUUGGCUCAAAUAUCAAUGUAAAUGUAAAUAUAGUCAUCUUGUCUAAAUUAAUUGGCAUGAGCCUUGUUUUUCACCUAUCAAUCACCAGGAAGUUGCAUUACAGGGAAACAGCCUCAUCCAACUACUCCCAUUUAUUUAUGAGAAUCGCAAUCAAAAGAUUUUUCUUGUAUAGCUGGGCUGCAACAUUUCUUUAUUCAUUGUGGGAGAAAUAAAUGGUAAGAAUCCAAUGAUACCAAAAUAGUGAGAGCUCCAGAAAAAAUUAUUAUCAAAUUUUAUUGUAGAAUUUGGAUUUUAAUCAUGCUUUUUCGAUUUAACUUCGGAUUAAUUAUAUUUUUAAUGGGUGGAUUUUAAUCCAUUUUAAACAUUUCCUUCAAUUUAAAUUAAAAAUAUCUUUCUAUUUAUAAUAUUUUGUAUACAUAAUAAUCGAAUGAAAAUAUAAUUAUUAAGGUAAUAAUGACACUCAUAUUUAUAAAAUAUCAUAAUUCCUUAGAUAGUAUUUGACUGACAAAGUGUAAUUACGUCAUAAUUUUUUAUGUCAUAUUUGGUAGUAUAAAAUUUAAUUACACAAUUACAUAAAAAUAAACAUUACUAUAAAAAAAUUGUUAGUGUGAUAAAAAUAAUUUCUGAAUAAUAAAAAUUAAAAUCAAAUCAUCAUAAAUAUUAUGUUAGUCUAAAAAAGUAAUUGAUAAUACGGUUACUGAUAACAAUAACAAGAAAAAUAAACAUUAUGUGCAAUUUUAUCUAAUUAUUCUAGUGCAUAUUUAUUGGAUUAUUCCCUCAUUUAAUAUUUAAUAUAUACUCAUUAUCAUCAAUUGUUAGUCCUAAGUGAUUUUUAUAUCUUGUAUAAAUUUAAAAAAAAAUAAAUAAAUUUGGUUGUAAUUACCUAUGUAAUUACUUUAACUCUCACCCUCUCUCUUAAGAAUUAAAAAAAUGUAAUUGAGGUGCUCCAAUUACACCCAAAUCAGCAGGACCCACUAAUUACAAUGGUUAUCCAAAUAUAUCACCAUUGUGUCAUUACAAGCAAUUACACUCGAAUUUAAUUACUAUGUGAUUUCCCAAACAUUAUUUAAGUAAUUAUAAAAUAACAUAUUUGAUUUUAAAAUAAGGGUUUUUUUAAACGAAUUAACAAACUACUUUGUUUUACAUAAUUUAAUUUUAAGGGUAAACUAUCAAAAUAGUCAUUUUUGUUUACCUCAUAUUACAUUUUAGUCACUUAUGCUUGAAAUUUUACGUUUUAGUCACUUACGUUAACGUGUUGUAACAUUUUAGCUAUUGAGCCGUUAAGUAUUGUUAACAAUGUAAUUGUAAGCUGACGUGCCAUGUUAAAUCAUCAUUUCAAACAAAAAAUUUAAGAUAAAUUAUACAAUUGGUCCCUAUAUUUUUUUGUUUUAAGCAAUUUAAAUUUUUUUCUUUUAUGUUCUUUUAACUUUCCUUUUUUUUUCUUUUUUUUUUCAUUCUCUUCUCCUUCUCCAUUUGUUUUCCUCCCUUCUUCAUCUCUUUUAACGUAGUUUUUCUAUAUUUUUCAUUUGUUAAAAUUUUAGUCCCUAUAUUUUUAUUUUUUUGAACAAUUUAAUUUUUUCUUUUCCUUUUCUUCUUUCCCUUUAAUUUUAAAAAAUGGAAAACAUAAAAAAACUACAUUAAAAGAGAUGAAGAAGGGAGGAAAACAGAGGGAGAAGCAGAAGAGAAUGAAAAAAAAUAGAAAAAAAAGGAAAGCUAAAAGAACAUAAAAAGAAAUUAAAUUACUCCAAACGAAAAAAUAUGGGGAUUAAUUGUGCAAUUUAACCUAAAAUUUUUAUUUGAAAUGAUGAUUUAACAUGUUACGUCAACUUACUAUUACACCAUUAACGGAAAUUAACGGCUCAGUAAAUAAAAUGUUACAACACAUUAACAUAAGUGACAAAAGCGUAACAUUUCAAACAUAAGUGACUAAAAUGUAACAUGAGGUUAAUAAAAGUGACUAUUUUGAUACUUUACCUUAAUUUUAAAUUAUAUUAAAAUUAUUUUAUUAUAUAUAUGUAUAUAUUAUAUUACAUUGUUUUAUCUAAAGAAAGAAACACUCAAUUCACAUUACAAUGAUACAUGAUACCCUUCAUUUGAAGUACUUAUUUAUAAUUUAUUUUCUUUCAAUUUUUUAUAUUAUAAAUAAUAAAAUUUAUUUUAAAUUAAUUCUCUCUUUAUUUUAAUAAUUAAAUUAACUUUUAAUGUUAUAAUAUUAAAAUUACAUAAUAUUCAAUUGUUAAGCUCAAAAUAUAGUAUUAAUAAAAGGACAAUUAUUAAUAUAGUUUAAUUAUUAAAUAUAACAAAAUCGUGCAUCACACGGGAUAAAAAAACUAGCAUAUAUAAGGAGGGAUCUAUUUACACAAGUGUAAGAUUAUAGUAAUUUUAUACCAUUUUCAUAUAUUUUCGUAUGAUUAAUAUUUUAACGAUUCAACCAUUGAACUUAUCAAUAUAAUUUUACUUGUCAUGCAUGUAAAUUUUCGAACCGAUGCAAUAUUUUUAUCAUAUUGAUCUUAAAUAUUGUCUAUAGUAAUAUUUAUUGAAUGAUUGAAAGUUUUUUUUUUACAUAAAAUAAAUAGUUAAAAUUUUAAUUUACAUCAAAUUUGACACGCAUGAUCUAUAAGAAUAGAAUAUAAAAUAUGACAGUUUGAUCGUUAAAAUAUUAAUCGUAUAUAAAUUUUACACAGAUAUAAAUAGAUCCUUCCCUGUAUAUACAUAUUAGAAUAAUAAAACUAUCCAAUCAAAUUCAAGACACAUGUAUGAGUCUGAAUUUAAAGGAACGCAUUUUUUGAAAAAUAAAAAAUAGAAGGUAAAAAUUAUCUAAAUAUCUAAUCAGGAAUUGAUGUUAAUUAAAGACUUGAACUCAUUCCACCAAUGAUUCAGUCCAUCAUAUUAAAUCGAUUCUAUUGCACCUAAAAAAGGGUUAGCUGGAAAUCGACUUUCCACGACUUUGGUAUUUAGCUUAGUGUCGAAAUUCAGAUGGUAAGGAAUUUGAGGUCAAGUAUCUUACAUAAAUUAUAAGAUAAAUCUAUUCAUUACUUUAUUUAAUUUUAAAAAGUUAUAAUUUAGUUAUUUUCUUUAAUUUUUUAAGUGAUUAACGCUAACGACCAGAUUAUAAUUUUUUUAAUUAAAUAAUCAAAAUAAAAAUUUAUACGUAAUUGAGUAACUAUUAACAUAGUUUACCCUAAAUCAUAUACUUUAUUGUUUUUUCUUCCUCACUAUAAAACAAAUCAUAUAUGUUUCAUAAAUAUUGAGAUUUAAAUUUCACGUAAAUUGAAUAGAAUCUUUUAAAGAGUAAAUACGAAAACUAACCAGAAAUUUGUCAAUCUUUGAUAAACACCCUUUGAAGAUUUGUUGCUUUCACAAUAUUAAGUAUAUGGUUUUAUGCAAUAAAUUGGAAGUCACUUUCAAUGAAUUAUUUUUGCUAAUUUAAUGAUCAAUCUUUAUGUGUAUGUACCAAAGGAUGAGGCUGGAAAUUUAGAGAGACUUGUCGGUACUUUAAAAGCUUCAACAUGAAGAAGAAAAAAGAAGGAACAUAAACUUUAUUGUGUUAUAUAUGGUUUUUGUUUAAGGCUAGUGGAAUAUUUUUUAAGACACCUUAAUCAUGCUUGUUCAAGUUCAUUAAUUGAAUUAUAUGGAUGAUUAUUUUUUAUUUAAGCACGUUUAUUAAUGGAUAAUGACAAAAACCCUUUGCUAAAUCAAGUUGGAAAAUAUAGGAAUAUUAUAAAAAUAAAUAAAUAAAUAUGAGUGGUGAUGCACCCACUCUUACUACCCAUAGUCCUUAUAUUAUGCAUGCAACAAAAUAAUUCAAAUAUAUAUAUGUAUAUAUGUGUAUAUACACAUAAAAGAAAGUUCAUAAAGCUUGCUUUAUCUAUCUCUUUUUUGGCCUUUUUGACCUGUUUUUUUUGUUUGUCCAUGCAUCUAAAUAAUUCUUCAUGUUUUGGCCACGUUUAAUCACCUUUUGUUGCUCGGAUGACUGGACUUUCCCAAAGGGUUACAGAGUUGAAUUUGGCAAAUUUCUCCAACCUGGUCACUGAACUUUUUUUUUCCUACAUUAGUCUUGACGCUUGGUAAUUUUUCCCAAUUUUGAUACAUGCAUCAUCUAAAUUAGAUGAUUAUAUGGUACAAUUUUAGACGGUCAGCUCAUCGCAAGGACUAAAAUUAGGAAAAGUAGCCAAGUGUCAAGACUAUUUUAGGAAAAAAAAAGUUAAAGUGACAAGGUUGGAGAAAUUUGCCAAAUUCAAGGGCUAAAUAUUGCCUUAUCCCAAAACAUAAAGAAAAAAAACUUAAUAGUUUUUUAGGGUUAAUAGCAUCCAGCAUCGCUAAAUUAUUAUUUAAAUUAAUCCUCAAAUUAUAAAACAUUCUAAUUGAAUCCUCAAAUAUAUUAGUAAUUUACAAUUAGUUUUUCUUGCCAAGAUAACAACCGGUUUGGGCAUUAAAUGUUAACUUGAGAUCUAAUGUGAAAUAUAUUUAAAAUAUAUAUAUGGAUCAAAUUUUAAAUAGAUAAUAUCCUUUUUAAAACACAUCAAAUUUAACUUAUCUAUGUAGUAAGUAUUUACACAUUUUUAAACAUGUUCCACUUGUGAUAUCUAAACAGCACCCUAAUUGACCGUUUAGAUUGAUGAGUUUAAUUAAUACAAUAUUAAUAUUGGAAGAAUUCAAUUAAAACAUUUUAAAAUUUAAAUCAAUUUGAAACCUCUUGCGCAAUUAGCCCUUCUAAGAGACCCAUGCAAGAAGUAUCAAAAGGUCAAAAAUUUGAAAAAAAAAGCAUUAUAGUUUUUAAAAGCUCAUAACGUCCAAAGAGAGUUUUGUAAUGAGCAAGGCUUUACUGUGGUGGAAAAUUGGUAGCCAUUAAUGAAUGAUUGAUGUUUGAUGGCUUCUUAAAAGAAGAGUUUUCAAGUCAACCUUGCAUGUUAAUUUUAGAGUGUUGACUGCGUGUAACUUAAAUUUGUUUCACGUUAAGGUUUUAUCAUUUUUUAUAAUUAAAAAAAAAACUUGAAGUCAAAAGAGAAAUUAUUUUUAAUUCUUAUUUAAUAUUGAAGAUGAUGAAAUUUGUUGUUACUUUUUUUUUCCACAUAAUUCAACCACUCUCUUUAAUAAGCUUUGUCUUUAUAUAGAAAAAUCAUAUUAUUAAAUUAAUCCUUCUACCUUUUUUUCUACCUUUUUGACUUUGAAUUAUUUACGAUGGAUAUAGAGUCUUCUCAUCCUCUGCUUUUAGUCACCUUCUGUCUUCCUUUUGCUACCAAACCUGUAAACUAAGCCUAACUAUUUGCAAUUACUACCCAUAGACAAAAUCCCCACGGUUAAAAAUUAUAUUAUAUUAAUAUAAUCGAAAUAUCUUUUGUAUUUAUUUUACAAUUUGAGUUUAUAAUUGUCUUCUUAAUAAUAUUAUUUUAGUAUUUGAACUUAAAUUUAGUGUAAUGUAACUUACUAUUACACUUAACUCUUGUUAUAUAUAUAUAUCGUCAAUUUUUGGUAAGUUGAGUGUCAAAGAAUUUGAUGUCCCAUAUGUUUUUCGAGUCUUGGAUUCAGAAAACAAUGUUGAGAGAAUUUUACUUCUCAUUUAAGAGUUUGACCUGACUUAACUUUGAAUUUAAUUUGAACUCAAUAAGAUUAUCAGAUACUAGUUGGUCUCAGAAUAUAUAUAUAUAUUUGGCUGUAAUAAGAGGCAACAUCAGGAGGGACAGUAAGGGGCUUUGACUCAAAAAUGAAAAAAUUUGUUGUUUAAUUCUUUCAUAGAUGAUGAAAUUGUAAGUUAAUAAAUGAAAAAGUUAAAAUUUGCCCCUUAAAAUGAAAAAAAAUCUAUUUAAUUCCAUCAAAAUAAUAAAAUUAUAAAUUAAUACAUGAUAAAAUUAUAUUUUGUGAUUAUAGAUGCAACAAAAAUAAAUAAAGUAUAUAUCAACAUUAGUUGCAAUAAGAAACAACCUUGGCCCCAAAGUAGAAAAUUUAUUAUUUAAUCCUUUCAAAAAUGAUUUAAUUAUAAAGUAAUAUAUAGUAAAAUUAUGCUUUAUCCCUCAAAAUAAAAAAAAAUGAGUUAAUCUAUUAAAAAUUCAUAAAAUUAUAAAUAACUACACAAUAAAAUUACACUCCAAUUUUUAAAAUUUUAUAAUUCAAUUUCACCUUCAAAAUCAAACUUCCCAGAGAAGCAAUUAAGACUGUCAAAUUAUGGUCUCCAUAUGAGACAUUUCCAUUAAUGAAAAAUGUAAAUAAUUCAAUUUCUUAGCAUGUGACAGAUAUGGAACAACAAUCUGUAUGAAAACGCCAUUAAACUUUCCAACUCAGGCUUGACACUGAUCCGCCAAACUUGUUGUUGAAGGUACAUAAAAAGUGUUUAAUGGCAUGUUUUUUUUGAAAAAAGAUGCAUUGAAUCUAUGAUUUUUUUGCACAUGUAUGUUUUCUUAACCAACAAAAAGGUCAUAAAUUUAUGAGGAUUAAUUGAACAUUGUGCAUUAAUGAAUGAUAAUUAAUUUUUCGUUAAGUUUGUACAUUUAGAAUUAAUGAAUAUGGUUUAUACAGAUAAAUUGAUGAAUCUUAUGUUCAUAAGUAAUAAAGUUUAGCAUUUGGGUUAAAGACUGUGUUUCAAAAGCAUUGUGGAAUAAUCAUUCAUUUAUUUUUUUAAUAUUAAUUUACUUUUUUUAUCAUUUUAGCCCUAAUUUUUUUUGGAUCACUUUAGGUCUCAACAUUUAAAAUUUAGUCAAUUUGUUUUCUUUUAAUAGCACUAACAUAACCACUCAUAUAGCAAUUCAUGUAUACUUCUUAAAAAUAUUUAAAAAAUUAAUAAAUUUAAGAAAAAUUGACAAAAUUUUAGCAAAAUUAUGCCAUUAAGUAUACAUUGAUUACAUUAAAGUAUUAUAGAGACUCGUGUUAGGAUUCAAAUUGUAUUAUUUUUCUUUUACUUAAAAAAAAGAUAAAUUAGUUUCUAUACAUUAAAUCAAAUAACAUAUUAAUUUUUUCUGUUAAAAUUUUAUCUAUAUGUACCAUUAAAAACUAACAUUACUGAUAAAAUAACCAAAGAUUGGGGGGAAAAUGCAAUAUGAGAGUAUAGCAUUGGUUAGGGUUGGAAAUUAAUUUUACAAAGAAGUUAUCUUUAUAGACUUUUGAUAAUAUAUAAAAACGUCCGUGGACUUAUAACCCUUUUGCUAUGUCAUGACUUUCCUUCGUCUCCCCUUUUCAUACGUUAAAAACUCGUCGCCACUCCUUUUUGCUUAUAUAAACAAAUCAUUUUUAGUCACCAUUUUUAUUUAUACAAAGAAACCAUGGGAUCCAAAGCAGAGAAAGAAUGGAGUUCCACAUCAAAGCUACCAUUAUUUUCAUCCCCACAUGCACACAUGCAAUCACCGGAAAAACAAUGGGUUUUAACCCCACCACACCAUGCUUUAGCCUCGGUUCCGUUCCGAUGGGAAGAAGAACCAGGGAAACCCAAACCAUGUUGCACAACAACACUCACCACUACUUAUGACUUGGGUCGAAAGUGCUUGGAACUGCCUCCUAGGUUGCUGAUACUGGAUGCUGCUAAGAACAUCGCCGGCGGCAAGCUUUAUUCGCCGACCACGGUGUUGGAUGGUCCUUAUAUGGGCAAGGCUAGGUUUCAGUCUUCUUCUUUUAGGAUAGGAAAUGAGUGUUAUGGGUCGUUUCGUAGUGGUAGUUUUAGUCCUGAGAAUAUGGUGGUGCACGGUGGUGGUGGUGGUGGUGCCAUGGUGGUUAGUAGCAAGAGAGUGAAGAGAGAUAAAGGGUUUCUUGGUUCUCGAAGAAAGGAUGUGUUCCCAUCUUUUGGAGAUGAAUAUGGUAGCAGCUUUAACACUCUUUCUCGUUCCAAAUCUCAUUUCUGGGUAAGUUUUUCUCUUUGUUUCCUUUGUACAUAGGUUUAAUUAUGAUUUUAGUCCCUCUGUUAUGCUGAAAUUUGGGUUUAGUCCCCUACUUUAAUUAGCCUAAUUUGUUACUUUGCUUUUACAAUCUAUAUUACAAAUUAAACACUUAAAUGGAUUGGUGUUACGUGUCCAGUUAACGCGUAAAUUAUAUUGUUUUGAAAGUAAUUUUGUCAUUUUAUAUAUUUUAUAUCAAAAAAUAUACCAUUAUAAUUUUCUAUAUUUGGAAUUUAACAUUCUAACCAAAAUAUUAUUUGUAAUUUAUAUUAAUAUUUUAUAAACAUAUUUUUAUUUAAAAAAAAACAAAUUUAAGUUUUUGAUUGAUUGAAUAUGCACGUAGCUCUGAAUACCUGAACGUCUGAUCCAUGUCAUUAUUUGAUGAAAGGAACUUACUUUAUCAUCAAUUUCAACCUACUAAAUAGGUAAAUGGAUUAAACCAUAAAACCAGAAAUCGAACACUUUGUUAUUAUGAUAUUUUUUCAUUAUGGUGCAAUUUUUUAAAAGAAUAGUCUUGCUUUAAAGUCACAACUUUAUAGAGAAAUGAACAAUACAUAUAGGGCAAUAAAUUAUCUGUACUGCUAUUUUGCUAUGAUGGGCAGGGUUUGGUUGCCGUAGGAUAGGAAGGACAGGGGUAAAAUUAAGUGUUCCACCGGCAAAUUUUUCUAGAUUUGUAGGCAUGCACCUACCUCAUUUUUGCCUUAUUUAUGGUUAUGGAUUUCAAUUGUGUUUAUUUAUUCAUUUCAGUCCCUGUCCUGGUUUCAAUAAAAAGUUUUUAUUGUUUUGUUUUUAAUUCUUACACUACUACAUCCUAGAAAAGUUGUUUGAUUUGGUGUUUGGACUUGACAGGGAAGUAUCUAUCAAGGCUUAAAGCAAGUGGUUACAUGGAGCAAAAGGGGAAAGAAGGAUAAGUUUAUGGCCUGAUCUUUCUAAUCCAAGGCAAGCCCUAUUUUAUAACAUGAGGUUGAAAUGAACAGAAUUACCUGUGUAGGCUGCAGUAGUGGUCAAAAUAUUAAUCCAUUUAAGCAGCUUGAUAUUUUCCUGUAAAUGAAAGUGACUAAUUAAAUGUAAUAUAUAUCUACUUUUAUUUGGAUGGCUAUGGCUAUGGCUGUAAUGGUAAUCUUUUGCAUGUAUAAAUAUGACUGUCGGCCCAGAUAUCAGAUGGCCACAUUGGAUCCUGAUUAAAUCUGAGGUUCUGUCGAUUCGAGUCAAACCCCUAACCGGCGAUAAGACUCCUAAUGCUUAUUUUCUUCAUUCACUAGACUAAACCGAUGAUUUGCCUAUAACAAGACAUAAUGAGGUAUUGACAAUGAGAGGUUUACCAAUUGAGCAAAUAAAAAGAACAAUGGACUUUAACCAUGAAAAUCAAUAUAUAAGUAACACUCAAAUUCUCAUACUAAACAUGAGGUUGAAAGGCACUUUAGAAAGUUCCUCAAAUUAAAAAAGUUGGACUUAUUUCGUCAGUGAUUACGAGCUACACAUAAAUUUUUGCCUCUUUUCGAUCCAUAAAUCAUAUCAACCCUGUUUUUUCCCAAUCACACCUGAAACCACCUGCAACAAUGGAGCAUUAACCGGGAUUUAGCAUUACCGGGAUUUAGAUAUCCAAAGUUGAAAGAAUUUUGGAGCACAUACGAAAAACAAAUGUAGUUGAUCUAGCUCAUAAGCAUGAUAACUCCGACAAUGCUGAUUCAAACCAGUGUUCUUUUUCCAAAGAGAUGCAUCAAGGACAAGGCACACAUUUCAGAUAUACAGAAGUUUUUAUUAAGCAUCUUAUCCUAUCUGCAUUGAACGAAGCAAGAACUUCUAUAGUGGUUUCAUAUUAUAGUAUCUAUUCCCCCCUUCAAUGAUACCAAUCAAUCCUUAUACCUAGAUGAAAAUGUAUAUAGUUUUGACUAAUAUAAUAGUCACAAAAGGUAACAGGCAUUAAUAGCAACUUUGACAUCCAAGUUCAAAUAAGGAAGAUCUGCAGAAAAAGAACAACUCUCUUUAGUGCAGCUAGAAUGUAAGCGUUAUCGGUUGUAGAAGGAUAUUGAUGACAGCUAAAACUCAUUGUAUUGAAUGCUCUAACUUUCCACCAUUUUCAAAUAUAGUCUUGAAACUGUAUGCAAGGAUUAGAAAUCUGCCAUGUCAAAAGAAAAGAACAAAUACCCCGUUACUAGAAUCUCAAAACUUCUCUCCUAUGACAUGUCUAAACCAAAUUAAUGGGGUUAAGCUAAUCCACAAACAAAAACAACAAAUAAAGCCUGUACAAAAAGAUACGUGCUAUACUUACGUCUCUUAAAGCAGGUUGUGGGACUUGCUUUGAUGAAUCCAUGGAAUCUAAAAUGGGCCUUACAACAGCUGGUAGGAAGAGACCUGCAUAAUUUUCACAAAAGUAUCAAGCAGACAACAAAAGAGAUAAAAAGAAAAGAAAAGGCUCAAUCUUCACAAAAAUGCAGGAAAAAGCCAGAAAAUUCAAACACCAAUCUUUGCGGAAUAUUGUUCUUUCUUCAAGAUAGAUUCAUACAGUCAACAAUUGAAAACACUAUCAUUUCGGAUUCAUAUACUCAUUACCCUAACUGCAAUAAUCGCAUGAGGUCACAAUGUGUUAUCUCAAGACCCGCAUUUUCCCCUACCACUGUUGUUUCGAUUAUUAGACACAAUAUUAACUUGAUCGCAGCGAUUUCAGCCAUAGAAUGUACCAACUUUAUGCAUCACUUCGGAUCUAGAAUCCUUCUUUUUUAAUGACUAAGAUAUCCUUCACGUCUGUUUGAUGGUUCACAACUAAUCCUUUUGGAGUUCAUGGCUACCCCUUUCCCCACAAUGGUACUUUCCCUUGCCACUGCAUUUGUUAAUAGAUCUAGAAUCCUUUGCAUCAUGACAUAUACGUAUAAGUCAUACAAUGGAUGAUAAUUUAUGAAUCGAAUUUCAGAUUAUUCAAAAAGAACAGCACACACAACUUUCAACUAAAAGCGUAGAUGAUUCUGAAUUUCCUAAUAAAGCCAAGUUUCUUCUAAUUCCAAAUUAUACUAAACCCAAACAGCAUACAACUAGGGAUUAAAUUAGCAAUGAUCGAAAAAAAAAAAACUAACCAAAACCAGCGAUGAGGCAAGAGGCAGCUACAACUGGCUCUUGCACUACGAAUAUCUUAAGCUUCUCCAUCACCGCCAUAUCUUAAAUCGAAAAUUUCCGUCUUUUACAACCUUUUCUUCUCGACGAGCCAACUCUCUGUUCUUUGAUGAAAACCCCCAAAAUUGAAAUGGAUGAUCCCACUCUUUAGGAAAUUAGAAAUCAAGAUUAAAAUCAAUAUUGGUGAAUCUCGGGUCGGGUAACUGAGAAAAACAUACCAAAAAAAAAAAAAUUGCCCUUAGCUUUUGCAUUUUUGAAAUUUAGUCUUUUUAUUUUAGUUGAAGUGUAAAAGUCCUCACAUUCUUUUAAAAAAAUAAUUGAGCACUUAUUUUUUUUAGGUUUAAUUAGAUACAUAAACUUUAAAAAUACAUUAAAAAAAGUAAUUAAGCCCAUGAUUUUUCUUUUGCAUUCAAUUGGAUACUUAAACUGUCAUCAAAAAGGUCAUUUGACCGUUAACUUUAACAGUUGACCAUUAAAAUUAACUGUGCUUAAUUUUUUCAGUUAAAGUCACCCCAUAUCACAAUUACGGCGUGACAUGUGACAAAAAAUUAUAAAAAAAUUAAUAAAAGUUAUAAAAAGUAUUAAAUUUUAAUAAAAAUAUAAAAUUAUUAAAAAAUUAUUAAAAUUAGAAAAAAAGAUUUAUAAAAAUUGUAAAAUUUUAUAAAAAUCAUAAAAAAAAUUAUAAAAUGCAACAAAAAGGCUCUUUAACCAUUAACUUUAACUGUCGACCGUUUAAGUUAACGACCCCUAGUUUUUUUUUGUUUUUCAGUUAAAGCUAUAAUGUGUCGUAACACAGCAUGACAUGUGGUAAAAAAAUUAGGGGCGGUUCAAGUACCCAAUUGAGUGAAAAAAAAACAGUGGCUUUAUUUUUUAUUUUUUUAAUUUUGAAAUGUCUUUUUAUACCUUUUGAAAGGUCUUUUUAUACAUUUUGAAAGUUCAAGUAUUCAAUUAAGUGCAAAAAAAAAAGGCUUAAUUUUUUUUUAAGUUUAAGGGCUUUUUACACCCUUAAGCCUUUUAUUGUUAUUUUAAAAGAUUUACUCUUUUUUACUUUUUAGAUUUCCAAAUUCAAAUAUAGUUGAAAUCUUUCUUUUCAAUUUUUUGGUGUGACAUUUUAAAAUGAAAAAAAUAUUUACUUAAUAGUAAUGUAACAAAAAGUGACUCUGAAUUGAACUUGAAUUUAAUAAAAUAAUUUUAAUUUUGUCAACAAUUUGACUUGCAUUUUUAAAUUUAAAAAAUAAAUAGACUAAAUUCUUUGAAAUAAAUCAUAUUAAAACAUAUGUAACUUUUUUUGUGAGUAUUAUGUAAAAAUAAAAAGUUGAGAUAAGGCUGUAAAAUUAUAAUGCAAAUUUCAAGUCCAUUGAACUUCCUAGCCCAAGUAGCUAGCUAGUUGAUUAUAUUGCCAAUUAUUAUAAUUAGGGGUUAAAUCACUUUUAGGACAACUUGGUAAUUAUUUUCACGUUGGAGCUUGAAUUUUUUUUUGUCUAAGUUAGUCCUUAAUAUUUCUUUAAAUAUCCUAAAAUUCGGGCUCAAGUGUAGGAACUAUUUCCAUGUUCAUACCCCAACAUGCAAAAAGUUAUCAAGUUCAUACUAAUAUGGGAACAAUUGGGAAAUUUAAGGACUAACUUAAAUAAAAAAAGUUUAAGCUUCAAUGUGGAAACAAUUGCCUAAUUUAAGCUUCAAUAUAGAAGUAAUGAACUUGGGCGAAAAAAAAUUCCAGUUCCUAAUGUGAAAGUUGUUAUCAAGUUCAAAUUCCAAAUAAUACCUUAAUUAGUAAUGAGUUAGAGUAACAAUAAACAAAGAAUUCAGUGACAAAGAGAGCUCUAAAGUUUUCGUGUAUGUUAAUGUACAUGGCAACAAAUGGGAUUCGAGCUUGCAUUGCCAAUAAAAUUAUUAUUAUUAUUAUUAUUAAAUAAAAUAAAUAGAGAUGAAUGUAUCGUAAUGAAACUAUACAUGUGUAAUAGUAAUAAUAAAUAUAUGUACAUUUGUAAUAUAAUUAUAUAUUUAUUUAUUAUAUAAGUAAAAGAUAUCUAUAUUAUUAUAAUAUAUUAUUAUUCAAUUAAUAAACAAAGGAAUUAAAGUAAAAUAAAUGAAAAAAAUAGUAAAAAGAAAUAAAGAACUGAAUUGGGGGACAAAAACAGAUAAGAAAAGAAGGGAAGAAAGGGAAAGAAAGAAAAUGGGGAAAUUAGGGAUUUUAAAGUUUGAAGUUUAAUUGGUAAGUUAAAUUAAGUUUUUUUCUAGUAAUUUUUGAGUUUUUAUGAUCUUAGAAUAAAAUAUUAUUAAGUAUAUGUUGAAAUUUUAGAAGUUAUUAGAUUUUUAGAUACUCUUUUUGUUGAGUAAAAGUGUGAAUUAGAGAUUGAAUUAAUAGAAUUUCCAAUUAGAAUUGCGAGAAGGAUUAAAUGGUAGAAUUGGCAAUAAAUUUUGUGAAAUAGGGACUAAAUUGCAAGAAAUUCGAAAUUAGGUAUUUAUGAUGAAAAUUAGAGAGUUAAGUUUAAGUUUGGUUGAAAAUUGAAUAUAAAUAAGGUAUGAAUUGGGAUGGAAAAAUAGAUGAUUUUGGUUAAGGAUUAAAUUAGAAUUAAGGUAGAAGUUAAAUAGGAAAUCCAAGUAUUAGAUGUGAAUAAUUGUUGUAUUAAUAAUUGUAAAUUAUUUUAAUUUUCGUAGUUAACAUCGAUCCGGAGACAUCGGCUCAGAAGGGAAAGGAAAAGAUUGCCGGAGAGUAACUCAGGAGAAAUUUUGAUUUGUAUUACUAUAAUUCAAAUUAAUUUAUUAUUAAUUGUGAAUAGUGAUUAAUAUGCAUGGUAAGGGAAAUUAAUGUGAGUAUUGAUAUUGAAUUGAAUGAAAAUGUAUUGAAUUGUAAAAAUGUGUGAAUAUAUGGAUUGAAUAUUAUUGAAAGGUGGAAAAAUGAUUGAAUUGAAAAUGUGAGAAAUUGUGAUUGAAUUGAGGUUAUAUGUGAUUUAAAUUCCCUAUUAACUAGUCGGGCUGAGACAGAUAUAGUUGGCAUGCCAUAGGAUUGGAAGUGUUCAGGGAUACUUCGCCCUCGAGUCUAUGAGACACUGGGUGUCACUAUAUUACUUCGGAUAGAUUUGAUGAGGUAUUGGGUACCAACUUACUUCGGCUUGACCGAUUAGACACUGGGUGUCAAUUAUUUACUUCAAACUAUUCGAUGAGGCACUGAGUGCUAUACUGGAGUGUUUGGUUGGAUCCGUGUAUCCGCCAAAGUCCGAGUCUUGUUAAUAGAGGUAACGAAUGAAAUGGUAAAAUUGAAUGAAAGUAAAUGAUCUUGAUUGAGAAAUGAAAUAAGAAAUUGAAAUUGAGAAAUGAGAAUGAAUGAACGAACCAACCAAAGGUUCAGGGAAUGAUUGAUGAAUCAAUGAAAUGAGAUUAUGAAAAUGCAUAGUAUGAAUCAUUGUUCAUGAAUAGACAAUAGUAUAUUGAUGAAUGAAAUGAGUAAAGAAAAUCUAUUUAGAAUGGCUAUAGUUGUUAUGUAAUAAGUAUAUUUUGUUGAUUUGUAAAUUUUAAUAAGCAUGAUCUGUAUGUUAUAUCAAGUAAUUUGAAUUUUGGUAAUACCACUAAGUAUAUCCAUACUCAGUGUAUGGUUGUUUUCCGUGCGCAGAUUAGUUGAAGUCAAACGUUCCAGUCUAGCAUCCCAAGUCAAUCCCGAUCUCAAAAAACUUUGGCGAUAUAUAUUUCUUUUGAUAAAAGUGGUAUGUACCUAGGUUAUGUAUAAGCCAUUUUGGAAUUGGUAGUGAAUGAUGUGUUUGAAUGGUUAUGUGAAAUGAUAAGAAUAUGAAAUGGUACUUUUGAUAUAAAGUUUAAAAAUGGAAAUUAAUGAAAUUAACUAAAUUAGUUUGAAUAUUAUAUGUAAAAUUCUUAUGAUUAUACCUUGAGUAAAUUAAUAGAUUGAUGUUUUGAUAUGAUUCAAAUGUAAUUGUAUAUAAAAUUGUAUUGGUUGUGAUAUUGGUUUGAAUUGGGUACGUUUUAAGUUUGCAGGGUUGGCUAGAUGAUUAAAAAGGGGUUAUAUUGAGCCCACACGACCUAAUCCACACAGGUGUGUGAGCCCUGUAUUUGAGAAAGAUUUUGGAAUUUCACGAAAAAUUUGUUGAGUACUCGAAUUGGUUCUGAAUCACUUCUGACAUGUAUUUUGGGCCUCGAGGGUCCUUAAAAUGGACAUCAUGAAUGUUUUACAAUUUGUAUGUUAUUUGUUUGUAUAAUGUUCGUAAUGUAUCUGAAAGGUUCAGUAAUGCUUCGUAACCCUAUUUUGGUAAUGGGUUAGGGUUAGAGAGUGUUACAUUUUUUGUCUCACUUUUUUAAUUAAUUUAAUUGUUUGCUAGUUUUAAUUGAGUGAUUAUGAUAUUUCAUAAAUCAUUGGUUAUAACUGAAUGAUUACAAUAUGUCAUACAAUCGAUUAAAUUCAUAACUAUCAAAUAAUAAUAAUUGGGUUAAAUGAAUUAGUCCAUAUAGAUAUUAAAAUGGUCAAUUUAUUAUUCUAUUAUCACUAUUCUAUUUCUUUAAACAUAGAUUUUUUUUCAUUCAGUUUGAUUUGAAUAAAACAAGUUUCAUGUGCAAAAAUCGAACCCAAACCGAAUUGUGUGGUUUGGGUGAAAACAUCAACUAGGUGUGAGAUUAGUUCGGUUUGGUUUUUUGAACCGAAUCAAGAUAUAUGGUUUUUUUUCAUUUUUCGAAUCGAAACUGAAUAGGUGGACAUAAGAAACCAAUUAUUACUGAACUAAAUUAGUUUGGUUUGAGUUUCCAUAUUGUUUUUGGGCUUUGAGUUUUUGAACUUUAUUUACACAAAAUAUAUGUGAGAGAUUGAUACUAAAAUUAGAUUUAGGGUUUAUUUUUUUAUUUUUAAUUUAAUUAUAAAAUAUGUAAAAGUAAAGCUGAACAAAAAAAUUGAGAAACCAAGCCGAACUGACAAUUCAAUUUGGUUCAGUUUUGGUUUAUUAUAUUCAACAUCGAAAAGUCCAAAAAAAUGUUUAAAAAAAAACCAAUAUUUUUUUUUGUACAUAUAAGCCCAAUAUAUAUCCAUUUAAAACCCAACAAAAAAAGGAAAACCAUUGCUUCUAAAUUUUAAAUAUAACUUUUAUUAUAUUUUUACAUAUUUUAUAAUUAAAUAAAAAAAUAAAACUUAACUCUAAUUUCAUAAAUUCAUUGCUUAUUUAUUAUUAUUAUUAUUAUUAUUAUUAAAACUUUCCAGAAUUAAAGUGUUUAUAUCUUUUUUUUUACAUAUUAUGUACUGUGUUCUUUUUUCUAUUAUUAUUGUUGUUAAAACUUCUAAAAUUUCGGUUAUCAUUAUUAACAUUUUCAAGUUGGGUUUUUUUUUUGUUGCCAAUAAAUAAUUUAACAUUUGAUUAUGUUCAGUUAAAAUUGAAAGUGAUUAAAUCAAGCUUUAAUUAGAUUUUUAAUAAAAAAUAAUAAUUAUAGAUUUUACAAUUUAUUUUUUUAGAUAAAUACAUUAAUUGAGAUUUGAUGUAUAAUUGAAAAAAAAAAUUAAAUUGUCAAAAAGUGUCUAAGAAACAUAAAACAAAGAUAAUUUUAUCUAAUUAAAAAUGAAAAGUUCAUAUCUAAAGACAAUUUUGUUUAAAUAAAACCCAAAAUCUAAAAGUCCAAAAACAAUAUGGAGACCUGAACUGAACCGAUUUAGCACGGUUCGGUAAUAACCGGUUUCUUAUGUCUACGGUUCAGUUUCGGUUCAGAAAAUAGAAUAACCAAAUAUCCUGAUUAUGUUCAAAAAAAAAAUAAAAACAAAAUCAAUCCAAACCAAUAUCACCCUUAUGUAAAAGCUUAAUCAAAGUUAUAUUUGGAAAUUUGAAGUAAUGGGUUUUAUUUUGGGUUUUAAAUGACUUUAUAUAUUGGGCUUAUAUGUUUAAAAAAUAUUGGCUUUUUUUUUCUUGAAAAUUUUAAAUGUUCUUUUUGGACUUUUUGGAACCUAAUGGAAUAAAUUGAAUCCAAACGAAAUUGAUGGUUCGAUAACAUCAUUUAACCGAAACCAAAUUAUAAAAAAACUCAAAUUGAACCAAACUGAAUUAUCGGUUUGACUUGAUUUCUCAAUUUAAUCAAUUUUUUUACUCAACCUUAAUAUCAAUCCGAAAUCGAAUUGAAUAAUACAAACUUGAACCAAAUACAUAGACUCAAAUCGAUUUUUCAAUUUUCUCCAUUUCUUAACCCUAUUCUUAGUCAUUGAAGAUUGUACAAAAAAUAUUCCAGGAUUAAUGUCAACUAUAGAUUUGAUAUAAAAAAAAUCUUUUGCUCCCACCACCAAAAUGAAAAUUGAUCAAUAUAGUCCCUUUAAUUUUUAUAAAUCAUAAAUUAAUAUAAUAAUAAAAUUUCACAUUUUUAACUCCUAAAAAGUAUUUAUUCAUUUCAGAAAAAUUAAAGCUGCUGCUCAAUCAGAGGCAGAACGUAAAAUGCGCAUCCGAGGAAUCGAACCCCGGUCAGUACCGUGGGAGGGUACUAUGAUACCACUACACUAAAUGCGCUCUGUUUGGCAUAAACUAUUACCUUUUCCUAUUUAUAUCUGAAAUGUAAUAAUUAAAAUAGAUGUAUUAUAAAAUACAUAUUAAAAUAAAAUUUUGAAAUAAUGAAAAUAUAAAUAUACUAUGUCUUUUGAUUUAACUAAAAGAAUCAGUCAUUCAAAAUGUGAUAAAAAUAUAAAAAAAAAUGUAAUCUUACGUAAGGAUGAUGUUAUAUACAACUUACUAUAUAUAUUUAAAAUUUGACACUACUAAUAAUAUCAUAUUACCGGCUCAAAGUAUUCUAAACAUAGGAAUGUGGUUAUGGAAUGUAAGAUUACGAGAGAAAUCUUAUGUUUUAUGAACCAAACCUCCUCAGGGUAUAACUUGAAUUUUUAUUUGAUACUAUAUAAUUUCAUGUAUUAUUAAUAAACCAAAUGAUAACGUAUAAAACGAAGGUAAAUAAAUACUUAAAAAUGUUAAAUGAUGUAUCAUUAUCUAUUUACUAUUUAGAAUCUAUCCGGAAGCAUGCAUGUCCGUAUGAAAUUAAAUGUUGAGAUUAUGUCUACAUGAAACUAAUUGUUGAGAUAAACCAUAAGUGGGGAAGAGAUUUGUUUAGGGGAGGUGACUUUUUGAGCCGGUCUUGGAACAGGAGAAUUGUAACCGAGAUAUUGUGUUUUUGGGUGUUUAUAUAUAAUUUUAAUUUUGAUUUUUGUCUCUUUAUUUUAAAUAGAGUUUAAAAGAGUUUACGGAGUUUAGUGAGAGUGUCUAAUUUAUCAAGGAAAUGCAUUUUAAUAUUUUUUACAUUGAUAUACCUUUAAAAGAUUUUAGUGAGUAAAAAUAUUACCACAUAUCUUAAAGGGUUUUGGUGAGUUAAACCCUCCCGUCAAACUCUAUAAACCUCUUUAAAUUCUAUUCAGAAUCAAGAGAGAAAAACCUUAAACUAAAAUUUGAGUAUAAAUACUCCAUCAACAAGAUUAAAUAAUAUAAAUCCUAUUGAUUGUACUUAAUUUGUCAAAAAGGAGAAAAAAGAAAAAGCUUGAAAAAGCAGCAGUCAGAGCUGAGUUGACCCUUUGGGGUUUGAGUUAAGAAAAAGCAAGAAAAGGAACUGUCGAAAAGAAACCAGAAACUUUAGAAGCAAAGGUGCCAAGGGACAGAAUCACACACGCAUGGGCAGGUAGCGUGACAUUGAAGUUACAACAUCAUGCAUGUCUGCAUGCAUGCAUGCCCUUGCUUUGUGCUAUAUCCAUGCGACAUAAUCAUCUUAUUUUACCCUUCCAACAUACCCUAGUUCUUUUUUUGUUUCAUUGAAACCUCUCAGCACUACUCUCUCAUUGUUUUGUGUUGAAAAAAUGUUUUAUUUGCCUAUUGUGUUAUAUAUAUAUAUGUAUACUUAUGAACUUAUUAAUUUUAGGUUAAUGCUUAAUAUAAUUUUGUUUUUUUGUAUUCCGAGUGACUAUAAUUAGGGGUAUUCAAACGGUUAAUCGAACUGAACUAGUAUUAUCGAAUUGAUCGAACUUUUUAAUCUUUUAAUUGUUAACCGAACCGAAAUAUUUCAGUUAAUUCGGUUGGUUAAUUGAAUUAACCAAAAUUUAUAUCUUUUGCUUUUUCUUGUUAAAACAAAUAUAAAACAUAUAAAAAAAUUGAUAAUGUUUAUUUGAUUAAAUUAUUCGAAUUAGUAAUAGCCUAAAACAUAUAAUAUAUAAUAUUAUUUAUAAAGUUUGGUUAAUUACUCAAUUUUAAAUCGAAUUAACCGUUAACUAAAAUUUUAAAAAACUUUAACCAAUUCUGACUGAACUAGAUCAGUUAACAGAAUUAGAUCGACUCAAUCAAUUAAUUCAAUUUUAAUCGAAAUUUGAAAACCCCUGUAGCAAUGUAUUUAUUAUCAAUUUUGAAUUUAUAAUGUGAUAAGUUGUUUUUGGUCCUCAUCUAAAUGUGGUGACCAAUUUUAGACUCAUCUUAUCUUAUAUUGGUCAAAUCAUGAUUCUUAGUGAUCUUUAUAUAUAUAUACACAUUAAAUAGUUGCAGAGUUUGGAACUAUGCGGCUCAGAAAAAUUUUGAAAAUUUUUAGGAGUUUAAUAAUUUUAAAAAAAAAAUUAAUGUCUAAUUAAAAUUUUUAUAAGAUUAAUGGAACUUUUCAAAAAUUUUAAGAGGGUUUAAUUAAAAAUUUUCACAAAAAAUUUAAAAAAUAAUAAGAUUUUUUUAAAAAAAAUUUCGCUCAACAAUACGGGAGAUCAAAUGAUGAAAAUAUUUUUUUUCCAUUCAACAACAUGAGAGAUCAAACGAUGGAAAUAUUAGGUUCCAUUCAUGGAAGCUGAAAAUGAUGGGUCAUAACAUAAUUAAACCCGUAAAAAGAAAAAUCAUAUCUAAUAAACUCUCAUUUAAAAUUUUACUCGAAUCAACUUCGAAUUUAAAUUAAAACAAAAGAUGGUUUUACUAAUAUACUGAAAGAGAUGCAUAAAAAGAAGAGUUAAUCAAUUGGGAUUUUAGAAAAAAACAGCUUUAGAAGUUUAUAUUUGCAGAGUGGCCCUUAUUGUUCAUAGCUGUAUAAGGUGGCAUAGGAAGGGAGUAUUUCAACCCAACAUUGCUUAUGAUUGAGCAAAAAAAAGGCAGUUGUCUAUGAAAAGCACUACAAAUUGAACCCAUCCAUUUGCUCUCUAUUUCUUGCUUUUAUUUUUAACUCAAAUCCUUAUUCAUGUGCUGGACAUUGAUCAAGUGUAAGGGUGGAUUCUUUCUUUUAUUUUAUUUUUUCAGCUUUACGCGACAUUAUUAAGAUAACGUAUUAGUGAGUGUAAUGCUAAUAUAAUUUGUUUAUACUAAAUUUCACAUAGGAUAAAAUGGAUCUUCAAAUACUUAAACCUCAUUGAAUCUUAUCGCUAUAAUCUUAACCAUAUGAUCAGUAACUAUAUUGUGAGUUCUUGGGAGACUUGGACUCUCCCUUUUUUACUCAUUAUAUAUACAUUAAUACACAUAAAACAUUGAUGAAGGUAUGUAUUUGUAUUGCAUGAAUAAUUAAGAUUUGAUGUGUUAAAAAUAAUAAAUUUAUUUCAAUAAUGUCAGAUUUAAGAUGUAUAUGUAAUAUGUAUACUCUUGUUUACAAUUUAAUCCACGUGUUUUAAAUAUAGUUGACCCUCUCUAUAACAGUCACACGCUAUAAUAGCAUUUCGCUAUAUUAGCAACAUUCAUAGUUAUAAAGUACAUUCUUUAUUAAAUUAGUUAUUCAUAACAACAUAUUGUCUAAAUUUUUAAGUAUAUUAUAGUUAUUUCAUAUAAGCAAGUCUAUUAAUUAUCAUUUAUUAAAUGAAAAUUAUCUUAAUUAAAAUAUUAUUUCAAUAAAAUGAUUAAAAUUCACGUGAAGAAAUCUAUUAAUUAUAUUUUAUUAAAUGAAAAUAAUCUUCAAUGAAUGGAAUUAAAGAUGUCAGUUUAAUAAACUAUUAACUUCCCUAAUUAAAUUUUUUUACUAUGAAUUUGGAAUAUCAUAAACUUAUAAAUUGAUUAUUUGAAUUUAGUAACUCGUGAAAAAUUAAUUAAUUAAUUUUGAUAGCUCAUUGAUUAAUUGAACUUGUUAGAUUUAUAAACUUUAUAAUUAAUCAUGUGAAAUUCACGAUAAAAAUUCUAUGGCGAUCUUACAAUGAUUAUCUCAUUAUAACAGAUAGGUGUAUGACAAACACCUUUUUAUAACAGGCAAAAUCUGGAUAGAUAAAUGGGCUAUUAUAAAGAGACUUGGUUGUAUAUUCCACAUAAGAUUUAUGCUUACACUUAAUACUCAAGCUAAUGAUUAGGUUGAUAGAAUGACUUAAUUAGUGCAACUGCAAUAAUGAUACUUUGAGGAUUUAAUUAUAAUGUUAUACAAGAUCAAUUUAGAAUCUAAAAAGAACUCAAGUUUAAACCCUGUAGAUGAUAUUGUUGGGAUGGACAAUCACAAAUCAUGAAAGGAUUAAUCUUUAUAAACCACAAAACAAACAUGAAUGAUUGAUAAGCCAUAAAAGUAACAUAUUUUAAUCCUAUUCUUGAUGCAUUUUUGGAUUUUUAUUAUUUAAUUUAGUGAAUUUGAUGCUCCUAAUCCUUUAAUUUCAUGUUUCUAUACUUAGGAGAGCAUAGGGGAGCAAAAAGAGAAGAAAAUGGGCCAAAAUCGGACAAAACAAGCUAUUUUAAGGAUCCACACGGCCAAGCCAUUCUCACACGGGCUAAGCACAAGCCCGUGUAAGCCACACGGGCUGGCCACACUCCCAUGUGUCAGCCCGUGUCGAUAUCGUUCCCUGUUUUCCAAGCAUGCGAAAAAAUCCAAUUUUUAGGGUUUUUGAGCAUUCCAAAGUCUAUAAAUGCACACUAGAAGAAGAUCUAAGGGAGGACGUAGAGUAGAAUGAAGAAAUUACUCGAAAAAAACCAUCGGAAUCAACUCAAAAGUAGGAUCUCCUUUAAGAUUGAAGAUCUCCAAUCAACUUCUCUAGAAGUUUUUGGGUUUCUUUAUGUUUUGUUGUUUUCCUAAUUUUGAGAUGUUUUCCUACCAAAGUAUGAACUAAAUUCCCUAGAUACCUAAUGAAUAUGAAACCUAUGACGGAUCUUGUUAUUUAAUUUUCUGAAUUACAUGAUAAAUACUUGAUUUCUUGAUCUCAAUUAUGUGUACUUAUUCCAUGUUUAAAUGUUUCCAGGAAAUUAAUUCAUGAUUGAUGUGCUUAAUUCAGUGGAGAAAAAGUCCCUGUUUAAGAGUAGAUCUAGCAUAAUUGAGUGGAGUUGUAUGCAAUCCUAAAAAUAGGACGACAUAAAUCUACCAGAUUAUAGUCAACUCUAAUUGGGGAAUCCAUUGAUCGAUUUAAUGCGACAAUAGGGGUUUUAAUUAGAAAGAGAUUUCAAUUAAUCAAUCUAAAGUCAAUUAUUUUUACUCUCGAAAGAGAUAUUAAUAUAAAUUAGGGAUUUAUACGGAUCAAGGCAAGUAAAUAAAUCGUUUAAUUCAGAUUUAUAAUAAAAAGUGAAGCCUAGGUGGAGUCUUUCCUGGGUAUUGUCUCUCAUAUUGGUUUAUUCGAUUAUUUUCUUACUUUAUUCUCUGUCGAGUUCUUAAUAAUUAGUUUAGAUAAUUUUAUAAUUAAAACAAACUUCUUCAAUUUAUCGGUUAGAUAAUAGAAAGAUAGUAAGUACUAGUGCUUUUAGUCCUCGUAGAUACGAUAUUCCUGACUCACCAACUAUAGUAUUAUUCGAUAGGUGCGCUUGCCUUUGUCGUGAUUUUAGUUAGUUAAGUGAAUCAUCAUUAAGUUUUUGGCGCCGUUGCCAGGGACUAAAAUAUUUGGAACACUUAAUUUUUAUUACUUUAGCCAUUUUUAUUUUAUUUUUGUUUUUAUUUUAAUUCUUGUUUACUAACUUUUCUUUUUGUUUGCUUCUGGCAGGUUUCUUUAGUAUAUGACUAGAAGAAACUCGUCAAGACCUCUCAUUUUUUACAGUAAAAUUGAAAGUACAGUUCACAGAAACCAUAAAAAAGCGAGGCAAAGUCGACAAAGUACAGUGGAAUAACAAGAGGAAAUCAUUGAUAUUACUGAAGAGAUGGUUAAAAAUCAGAAUAAUCAGCUACCUCCUGUAGUUGCCGCAAAUCCUACUUCUCGUAUUAUGUAUAAUUAUGCCAAGCCCAAUUUAACUGGGGCUGAAUCGAGUAUUGUUAGACCUGCUAUUGCUGCAAAUAAUUUUGAACUGAAACCUAACACUAUUCAAAUAAUUCAACAGUUUGUUCAGUUUGAUGGUUUGCAGGGCAAAGACCCAAAUACUCAUUUGGCUAAUUUCCUAGAAUUCUGCGACACUUUUAAGAUAAGUGGCGUUUCUGACGAUGACAUUUGCCUUCGGUUGUUUUCUUUAUCUUUGAGGAAUAAGGCUAAACAGUGAUUGAACUCCCUACCACGAGGUUCUAUCACUACAUGAGAGCAAAUGACCGAAAAUUUUUUGCUGAAAUACUUUCCACCGGCUAAGACAGCUAAGCUGAAGAAUGAUAUCUCUUCCUUUGUGCAAAUGGAUUUAGAGACCCUAUAUGAUGCAUGGGAGAGGUAUAAGGAUUUAUUGAGAAGGUGCCUUCACCAUGGGUUACCUCUAUGGUUACAGGUUCAAACUUUUUACAACAGUUUGAACCCUUCAACUAGGCAAUUGAUUGAUGCAGCCGCCGGUGAGACUUUAAAUAACAAAACACCUGAAGUGCCUUAUGAGUUUAUAGAGGAGAUGUCACUGAAUGAUUAUCAUUGGCAAGUCAUGAGAACAAAGCCGAUGAAAGCAGCCAAUGUUUUUAACGUUAAUGUGGUCACAAUGUUAUCAAAUUAGGUAGAACUUUUGAGUAAAAAGAUUGAUGAUUUAUAUGGUUCUACGCAGGUACAUCCAGUGAUGCAGUGUGAUACAAAUGGAGGAGGGAUGAACAAUUCAGAAUGCCUAUCCUACAGCUCUAGCACAGAGAACGAACAAGUCAACUAUAUGGGUAACAAUUUUAGACCUCAGAAUAAUCCCUAUAGUAACACGUAUAAUACAGGUUGGAGGAACCAUCCAAAUUUCUCGUGGAGCGGUCAAGGAAAUCAAAGAUAACAACCCCCUCUAGGCUUCCAACAAGAAUCUUACCCUCAAGAGAAGAAGCUGAACCUUAAGGGGAUGUUGACAAAAUUUAUUUCGGUGUCAGAAACUCGCUUUAAAAACACUGAAACAACACUAAAAAAUCAACAAGCAUCAAUUCAAGGGCUUGAGAAUCAAAUUGGUCAAUUGGCAAAGAUGAUUUUAAAACGACUACAAGGUAGCUUGCCAAGAAACACCGAAACUAACCCAAAAGAGCAGCUUCAUGCAAUCACUGUUUGAGAUGAAGAAGGGUUAGCUGAAUUUGAAUCUGAAUCGAGGUAAGAAAUUGUGGUAAGCAAUAGUAAGGUUGAGGUAAGCCACAACGAACGAAAACCAAUAAGUGAGGAGUAUAAACCUUGUAUACCAUAUCCCAACCCGACAAAGAAAGGCCACACAAAUGAACAAUUCGAUAAAUUCUUUAAACUGUUGAAAAGUUACAUAUUAACUUACCGUUUAUUGAAGCUUUUUCGCAGAUGCCAAAUUCCGUAAAAUUUUUAAAGGAGCUUUUAGUAAACAAGUGGAAGUUAGAUGAUUCGUCACACAUAGAGCUAAAUGUAGUUUGCUCAACUAUCUUACAGAAUAAACUACCCAACAAAUUGAAAGAUCCAUGGAGUUUUACUAUUCCUUACUUAAUUGGUAGUUUAAGUGUUAAUAAUGCUUUAGUUGAUUUAGAGGCGAGUAAAAAUGUCAUGCCCUAUAAAAUGUUUAAACAACUAGGUCUUGGGAAACCCAAACAAACUAGGAUGAGCAUUCAAUUGGCAGAUAGAACUAUUAGAUUUCCUAGGGGUAUUAUUGAAGACGUUCCAGUUAAAAUUGAUAAAUUCAUGUUCCUAGUUGAUUUUGUUGUUUUAGACAUGGAUGAGGAUAAUGAUACACCCUUAAUUUUAGGACGGCCUUUUUUAACAACUGCCAAAACGAUUAUUGAUGUUGGUACAGGUGAACUCAUACUUCGUGUAGGUGAUGACACGAUUAAACUCCAAUAUUGUAAUUCUGCUAAGAUAUCUAGUGAUCGAGUUGAUUAUACAAAUUCUGUUAAUACAAGUAACCCUGUGGCUCAACACUCUUUGCAAGAAACUCCGCAAAAAAAUGCGAUAGAGCCACGAUCUAUUUCAUGUGAUAAACUAGAACAAUUCAUAAAGAACGAAUGCUACAAAUCGAUCAACUAGAUAAAUGGCGGUCAUAUGUCAAGGAGAAACAGAGAAUACACGAUGAAAAACUAAAAUGACUCCAUGACGAACUUAAGGAUAGAACGAACCACUUCGUGGUUGGGGACCAGGUACUGUUAGAUGAGACUGACCCUCAAAUAACCACUUUAGAGCUCAACGCAAACGGAGCAACUCCUUUUACGGUACUCAAUGUCUUCCUAUACGGUACAGUCGAGGUAACUCAUUCUAAUUUUGACACUUUUAAGGUAAAUGUUACUCUACUUAAACCUUAUCUGAAUAAAAGAAUUGACAGCAAGAAAGAGGAGUUUCGACUUCGCGAACCACUAUGACCGUGCGAAUACGAGGUAAGUGAGCUUAAACUUUAAAUAAGUGCUUCUCGGGAGGCAAUCCGAGCGUUAACAUUCCUUAAUUUACUAAUUUUAUCUCAUGAUAUUUUUAAAAAUUAAAUACUAUAAAAAAAUAGUUUUUAAAACCCACACGGCCUGGACGUACGGGCGUGUCCUAGGCCGUGUGGAUCUUUUUGACUUAGUUUUAAAUUUUGAAAAAAUAUCGACAGUGAGUUAUACGGCCGUCUGGAGCCUGGGACUUAAUUUUCCCAAAAAUCAACAGAGACACGGGCUAAAAUAGUUCACACGGCCUGGACACACAGGCGUGUCCUAGGCCGUGUGAAACCUGGAGCUUAAUUUUUCAAAUUUAAAACAAGUCAGAGAGUUACAUGAGUAAGACACACGACCGUAUAUGAGACACGGCUGUGCCACACAGGCGUGUGGGAAGUUACACGGGCGUGGGAGAAGCGAAAGAGAUUGCACACGGCUUGGACACAUGGGCGUGUCCGAGGCCGUAUGAAAACUAGGCUAUUUUAUUAAUCGCACACAGGCUGAAUAGGAGACCACACAAGCGUGUGACAGAGCCGUAGGGGCCCAACAUGGGCCUCACAUGACCGUGUCACCCUUUUAAAUCCCUAAUUCCUUUUCAAUUUUUACUUUUUUUUCUUCUUCUCAAAUUUCCCAACCCUAGCCGCCACAACACCCCAUGGCCCCACCGACCAACCACCAUCCACACCCCAUGCACUUUCUGUCGCCCCACCCUCGACACACCUUCUUUUCCUUGAUCCACCAUCAACCCAACUAAAACCCCCAUUUCGACCUAUUCCCUUCUAUCUUAUCUUUUGNNNNNNNNNNNNNNNNNNNNNNNNNNNNNNNNNNNNNNNNNNNNNNNNNNNNNNNNNNNNNNNNNNNNNNNNNNNNNNNNNNNNNNNNNNNNNNNNNNNNNNNNNNNNNNNNNNNNNNNNNNNNNNNNNNNNNNNNNNNNNNNNNNNNNNNNNNNNNNNNNNNNNNNNNNNNNNNNNNNNNNNNNNNNNNNNNNNNNNNNNNNNNNNNNNNNNNNNNNNNNNNNNNNNNNNNNNNNNNNNNNNNNNNNNNNNNNNNNNNNNNNNNNNNNNNNNNNNNNNNNNNNNNNNNNNNNNNNNNNNNNNNNNNNNNNNNNNNNNNNNNNNNNNNNNNNNNNNNNNNNNNNNNNNNNNNNNNNNNNNNNNNNNNNNNNNNNNNNNNNNNNNNNNNNNNNNNNNNNNNNNNNNNNNNNNNNNNNNNNNNNNNNNNNNNNNNNNNNNNNNNNNNNNNNNNNNNNNNNNNNNNNNNNNNNNNNNNNNNNNNNNNNNNNNNNNNNNNNNNNAUUGAUUUAUUUGUACAUAUACAAAUAUAAGCAAAUAUAAACAAUCAAAACACUUUAAUGUUAAUAGUAUAAAAACUUAUCAAUCUUGUAACUGAAAUCGGGUCAAUAAUGUUGUAGGCCAAUUUAACCCAUUUACAUCAAAACCCAAUUUAACCUUACCUAACCCACCAAAAUUAAACCCAAAACCCAAAAUCUUAACUACCCAAAGCCCAAUUUACAUCAAAACCCCAAUGGCCCAAACCCUAAGCCCAAAUCAAAAUAAAAAAACCUAGCCCACAACCUAAACUUUCUCAACUAAAUCCUAGCCUUUGCCACCACCAACUCCACUAGCCACACUUGCUCCACCCCUCCACUAGCCACACUUGCUCCACCACCUACUCCAUUAGCCACACUUGCUCCACCACCACUUGUACCUACAAAUGAAGACAUAAACAAUAAAAAAUAUUUUGUAAAUGGCUAUAUAAGCCUUCUCAUUUUGUAUUUAGGAGGAAGAAGUUUUGGGGGAGAAAGUUAUUGUAAAGGAUUUUUGAGAGGUUUUUUGAGUAAUCAAGGAGAAGAGUUAUUGUAAAGGCUAGUUUUUGGAGAGGCUAGUUUUUUUUGGAGAUUAAUCAAAUAUCAAGCAAAAGAGGUUUCUUGGUCUAUUCUCGUUUUAAGUUCUUUGUUUGCUUAUUGUUUUCCUUUCAGUUUUAUUUUGUUUCUUUUAUACGAAAGUAAAAAUAAAAGGAGGAAGCUUUCCCAUUUUUACCGAAAAAUUUUUUUGAGGUCCGGGCUGCCGGUGGCACCGAUGGCCGCGGCGGUCCGGUGACCGGACGGUGGCCGGCCUUGGGCCGGAAAUCACCCACUCUCUCCCUCUUUUUGUUAUUAUUAUAUUUUUUAAUAUUAUAUUAUAUAUAUCUUUUAAUAUAUUAGGUAUAUUCUAAACUAUAUAUAUUAUACUAUUUAUGUAUAUUUUAAUACUAUUUAUUUAUAUAUAUUUUUCUACAUGUUAUCUUAUGUAUAUUUUAAUUAUAUUAUGUAUGUAUUUUUACACUAUAUUAUGUACAUAUUUUUUUUAUAUCUAUUUUAUACAUAUGUAUAUAUUAUAUAUAUCUUAACAUUACUAGUUAUAUUUUCACUAUUUUAUGUAUAUACUUCAACACUAUAUAUAGUAUAUUUCUAACACUAUUACUAUUUAUAAUAUAUAUAUAUUUUACGUACAUACUCUUAAUAUCUUUAUUAUGUAUAUAUUCGUUGUUUUAUUUCACAUUGGAUACUAUUAUUACGUUUAAUAUAUCGCAUGCAUUGUUAUUGUUUUAAUAUUGUUGUCAUAUUUAUUAUUUGUUUCAAUGUAUUUCCAACUCGUUUUAUUUUUGUCUCCCGCCUAUUUUAUAUCAUUCUGUUGUUCAUUAUUUUAAAGAUUUUUAUUCAUUUUUUUACUAAUUUCAAUAAAUAAGGCAAUGUUUCACAUUUUGGAACAUCAAAGAAUUGUGCCCUAACUUACAGGGUUUCGAUUCUCUUGUUGGUUCUAAAUAGCUAAAUAUCCUUUUGAGUUUUGAAAUGCACAGAUUUUCCAAUUUAAAUUAAAAGACGACCUUGUGCUCGGGAAUUCAUGUAUUGUGUCCUAACUUACGGGAUGUGAUACUCCAAUAUUUCGAGAUAAGGAAAUCUUUAAACAAAUCGAUUUAAGCUAAUUCAAGAAUUUUUAAAAUCAGUAUUAAUAGAAAAGAUCGUAUUUCAGUCCCUUCCCGAUUUUUAAUUUUCGACAUUAAGACACUAACUAAUCAAUUCGGUACCAAUUUUUUGGGCGUGUCGAGGGUGCUAAUUCUUCCUUGCACGUAACCGACUCUCGAACUCAUUCUCUCAAGUUUCGUAGACCAAAGGCCCUGUUUUAGUAAACUAAAAUUGAUUUAUUAAAACAAAGGUGAUCCGAUCACACCUGAUAAAAGAUUGGUGGCGACUCCCGUUUUAAUUUUCACUUUCAAACAAAGUCGAUCCCCAUUUUCAAAAGAAUGGUUUCGACAGCUUGGCGACUCCACUGGGGACCUCGAGAGUCGAGCCUUAAAUUGAUUAUUUUUUGUCUUUUGUCAAAAUCAAAAAUCGAUUUAAAUUUAUUGCAUUGCAUGUUGUUUGUUAUUUUCGCGACUUCUUCAUAAUAUGCUUGCUUUAAGUGGUUUAAUUCUUUGAAGUAUCUUUGCAUAUCGCAUCGCAUUAUUGGUCAAUUUCACCCUCUUAAGUGGAAGUGAAAAACUACUCAUUCGUGAGGUCUUCACCUCCGUAUAGGAUAGUGGAUCACUUUCGGGAUACAUCCGUACCUGCGUCUUCGUGAGGUUUUCACCUCUGUAUAGCCGUAGGGAAAUGUAUUCCCCUGAAUCGAACUCGGUCUGUAUGAACCUAUAAGGGGUGAGGAUCGAGGAAUCUUCUGGUUCAGGUACCUUUACUUUAGAACCAAACUACAUGUAAUGAGCCCUAGGAGCCUACCCUAGGUAGAACCACACCAAACCCUAGUGGUUACCUGAUUAGGUGCUUAUUUACUCACUAUUUGCUUCGAAUUCUAUUCUUUGUAUAUAAUACUAACUUGUUGUAUUUUGAUCAUUGUCGCAUGACAUUUCUUCAUAAAAGGGUGUUGAUUUACGUUCGGUUACUAAUUAGAAGAGUUUAGCAUAGAAAAAGGAUUUCUUGAUAGAAUGGAGGAUAAUGCGGCCGUCCGAGUUUGGUCUGAGAGAACGCAACAGGAGAAAGGAGAUAGUUUGACCGAGAUAUAUGAAUCGGAGUUGUGGGAUUUCACUCGCAUCAGUGUGACUCAGAACGACCUGCAAGAGUUAAGGGAUAUAUGGAAUAGUUGGAAUGGCAAAGUCAAACAACUCUUUUACUGUAACUACGGUGACCUACCCUAUUUACUCGAUGUAAAUAUGGACAAGUACUUGUUCCGGGCCCUCGUGCAAUUUUGGAACCCCGCUUACAGUUGCUUCACUUUUGGAGAAGUUGAUUUAGUACCUACGGUGGAGGAAUACAUGGCGUUACUUAAUUGCCCGAAGAUUCAGGCCGAUAGGGCCUAUUCAAGACCUGUUAAUGUCCCUCCCUUUUUGAAGAAAUUGAUGAAUAUCACGAGGAUGAGCGAGCAAUGGGUUGCGGCUAGCAUCAAGCAAAAAGGGGAUAGUAAAUGUAUUCCUUGGAGGAAUUUGAGGGAUUUUAUUCUUGCGCACCCGGAUUCGAAGAAAAGGGUUGAUGUUUUUGCCUUAAGUCUCUACGGUUUGAUCGUCUUUCCUAAAGCACUUGGACAUGUAGAUGAAGCCGUCUCAAAUUUAUUCGAUCGACUUGAUAAAGGUACCACACCCGUCUCGGCAAUCCUAGCAGAAACUUUUCGAUCCUUGAAUACAUGCCGGAGAGCGGGCGAGGGAAGAUUUAUUGGUUGCGCACAGCUUCUUUUGGCUUGGUUCCAUAGUCAUUUUUGGAAGGUGGAGAAGGUCUCACAUCGGGUAUUCUCUAAGGAUUAUUCCCUAUUAAGAAAAUUAGUGGCCACAUCGAGGCAGGACGACAUCUCCGAAGAGAGGUGGAUAACUAUUUUCCAAAAUUUACGGGCCGAAGACGUUGAAUGGAGGGCUCCGUGGUUGAUUCCUGAUGAUAUCUUAUAUAGGUGCGGUGAUUUUGACUAGGUCCCUCUGGCUGGAAUAUGGGGAGCCAUUGGAUACGCUCCACUGAUGGUUUUAAGGCAGUAUCGAUCAAGGCAGUUUAUACCGGUGACACAAGGGUUGGCACAAUGUUUGUUCCCCUAUAAAGAAAACAAUUAUAAAAAGAGGGUUCGCGAGAUAUCAGAUGCAUGGAACCAAACUCGAACAAUGAAAGGAUUCACUGCAGGCCCGAUAACGACCCCCGAGUAUGAAUGGUGGUGGGGUAGGAGAGUCAACGACAACAUCCCUAGGCAGAAUCAAGGGAACACACAACCGAUAGAGGAGCAUUUACGGGUCAUCCCAUCCGAGUUAGAGAUCAUUAAGCAAGAUUUUGAGAAAAGAAACUCGGAGUUAGGGAAGAAGAUAGAGCAGCUAGAAGAAGAUAAAAUUAAGUUGGGGUUAGAUGUCGAUAUCCACAAGCUUAAGGCCGAGAAGUUAAGGAAAGGAAAGAACAAGGCCGAGAAAGAUUUAGAUAGUCUAAAAACCGAUAACAAGAAGCUUCGUAUAACGAUAAAAACUACCAGAUUAGGUAAAACGUCGGAGCAAUGGCGUCAAGAGAUUAAAAAGGAAAAGACUAGAGCCGACCAUUGGGAGAAAAGAUUUCAAGAUGCUCGAGUACGAGAGGACACUCUGAAGAAGAGUUUGUUAGAAACCCAAAACGAAAAGGAGAAGUUACAAGCUCGGGUGGCUGAAUUGGAAAGAUUACUUCAGCGACAUCGUAGCCAUAAUUCGAUAAUUAAGCUAAAGGCUAGUCUGAGCAGGAUCGAAGAGUUGAAAGGGAAAAUAGAAAAACUUGAGACCGCACUGCGAGAUAUCAAAAUUCGAGUGGAACUUCUUCACACGAACAACAACCAUUACAGAGAACAGCUCACUCUCAAAACCAGAUUAGAGAUAGAGACUAUGUCAUGGGCGAAGCUAUAGCUCAGGUUCGGGAGAUAGCUGAUCACUUGCAAACCUUGGCAGUUCAGGCUGAUAUAUUGAGCUUAAAUUACGAGUCGGAAUCAAACCGAGGCUGAACCUUAGCUUGGCUUCUUAGGAAAGUUAAAACUUUUGGCAUUAGGGCGAAGUCGUAUAUGUAAUCAUCCGUUCUAUGUAAAGAAAAUUUUCUUCUAGUGAAGUUCUUCUAAUGAAAUUGAAUUAGAAUCAACGCCUCUUUUUGCAUUCAUUCAUUGCAUAUACAUAUCCCAUAAUCAUUCGCUAAGGUUAGAAUCAUAUAAUUCGCAGUUGCAACACUUCAAAUCUGGAACCACGCCAUUCGUAUAAAACGCGUCGACAAGUUAGAGCAAUGGAGGCUGAGUUCAAUAAAAGAAUCGAAAGGAUGGAAAGAGUCCAGAAUGAAUUACAAGAACAACUGGCUAAGUCACAGCAAGAAACGAUGGAUUUGAUAGUAAGAUCUCGAGAGGAAUCACUUGAACAAAAGGAUCAAAUGGCUAGAAUGAUGGAGAUGAUAUCAGUUUUUGGUCAAAGAAAAAGGACCCAUGCAGAACCCCGACAGUACGGAACCUCAAUCAAGAAUUAAUCAUAACCAAGAUCCACUCUAUCCCCCAGGAUUCACUCCACCACAUGCCCACGUAGUACAAAGAGGGUAUACUCAAGGGGAAUCCACAGGCUUGGAACAACGACCUAUGCCAUUUUCCCAUCUAGGGCAAGGAACAUUUAUGUCAAAUCCCGGAGCAACCCCUGCUAAUCCUAUAGUUCCAGAUUUAGAUGAUCUAGUCGAAAUAGCCAAGUUGAAAAUAGAUGAUCACGAGGCUCAAGAGAAGUAUAGGAGUUUGGAAGAAAGACUCAAGGCAAUAGAAGGCACUGAAGCCUUCUCGGUACUAGGUGCUAAAGAACUCAGUUUGGUACCUGACCUAAUCCUGCCUCCGAAGUUCAAGGUGCCUGAUUUCGAAAAGUACGAUGGGACAAGAUAUCCAAAAGCACAUCUUGUCAUGUUUUGCCGAAAAAUGACCUAUUACGUGAACGAAGAUAAGCUACUUGUACAUUAUUUUCAAGACAGUCUAAUAGGAUCGGCUCUUCGGUGGUACAACCAACUUAGUAAGGAAAGGAUCCGAUCUUGGAAAGACUUGGCGUCGGCAUUCUGUGAGCAGUACAAGCAUAUAUCAGAUAUGGUGCCUGAUCGGAUGACUUUACAAAUGAUGGAGAAAAAGCCGUCAGAAACUUUUAGACAGUACGCGCAGAGAUAGAGGGACGUCUCAGCCCAAGUGGAACCCCCACUAACGAAAACGGAGAUAACCAUCCUUUUUAUCAACACCUUAAAAACAUUGUUUUAUGACAAGCUAGUGGGAAGUGCCACGAAAGAUUUUGCGGAUAUUGUAAUAUCCAGUGAGCUCAUAGAGAGUACCGUCAAGAGCGGCAGAAUGGAAGGUUUAAAAGGUUCAAAAAGGACAGUGCCUAUGAAGAAGAAAGAACCAGAAGCCCACAUGGUGGGAAUGGAAAGCCGUUAUGCCCCUAAUCUAUAUCCAAACCAACCCCGACCUCGAAGUUAUCCACCUCCAAAUUUCUAGUAUCCCCCUCAAACCCCUUACUACCAAGCACCACCUCUUUCCUACCCCGUAUAUGCCACGAACAACCAAAGACCCGUCACCACAUUCCCACAAAAUACGGUACCCACUCAAAGCUAGCCUAGAAAUGAACCAAGACUAGCAAGGUCUAAUCUCGAGAGACCACAAUUUACUCAUAUCCCUGUGUCGUAUGGGGAAUUGUACCCAAAAAUUUUGGAAAAACAGCUGAUUUCUCCCCAUUACAUGGCACCCCUUAAACCUCCAUACCCAAAGUGGUACGAUCCAAACGCUAGUUGUGCAUACCAUGCAGGGAACCAAGGGCAUUCCACGGAGAAUUUCCUAGCCUUUAAGAGGAGAGUUCAAGGACUCAUUGACGCGGGUUUCCUACGGUUCGAUAGUGCCAGUAACGCAACUGGGAACCCGUUAACUAUGUUGAAGGGAAUGUGAGCACAGUGGGGAAAGAGGACGAAUGGAAAGUCAGAAGAUGUGUUUGCAGAAAAUCUGGGAGGUACUGGUUAAGAAAGGAUUGCUUUGUCACCCCGAUAGAAUUCUCGGAGAAGAAGGUCAAAGUUUUUGCAAUUUUCAUAAAAUUGUAUAACACGACAUUCAGUCGUGUGAGGAAUUUAAAAGGUUACUUCAAGACCGGAUGGAUAAUAAGGAGAUUAAGGUCCUUAACAAGAGGGAAGAGACCAACAAAAGAGAAGUAUGCACCUCUGACAACCAGUCAUCAGGUCUCCUUUAUAGUGUGGAUCGACCUUUAGUAAUUUAUUACGACGCGACGAAAGAGCCGGUGAAACCAAAAAUGAUAAUCGAAGUACCGUUUCCUUUCUCGUACAAUGACGACAAAGCCGUACCAUGGAAAUAUGACAUCAAUAUCGUCACAUCGGAAGAUGAAAAGCUCAAAGCCGUAACUGGAGAUGUUGGAGAGGUAGGUCAUUUUACCCGAAGUGGAAAAUAUUAUUCGAAAGAGGUCGAACCAGUGAAGAAGAACAGUGACUGGAAGCAAAAAGGGAAAACAGUGAUGCAUGAGGCUGAAGUGGAGCAAGAAAUUCCACCAGUGCAAGAAACUAAAAAGCCUGUGGAUGAGAAGGAAGCACAGGAAUUCUUGAAAUUUAUCAAACACAGUGAAUACAAUGUGGUGGAAUAAUUGAAUAAGCAACCAGCACAAAUCUCGGUUUUAUCUCUGCUGCUAAAUUCGGAUCCACACUGGAAUGCUUUGUUGAAGGUGUUGAAUCAAGCUUACGUGGCAAACAAUAUAUCCGUGGAGAAGCUGGACAGAUGGGUGAACAAUUUGAAUGCGGAUAAUUUUAUUUCUUUUAGUGAUGACGAAAUACCACCCAAUGGUAGAGGCUCCGUGAAAGCACUACAUGUUACGACUCAUUACAAGGGCUACAUGAUACCGAAUGUGCUUAUCGAUAAUGGCUCGGCACUCAAUGUCAUGCCUUUGGCCACGCUUUCCAGAAUUUCGAUAGAUCUGUCCUAUUUAAGGCCCUGUCAUUCCACGGUAAGGGCAUUCGAUGGGACAAGGCGUGAAGUUAUGGGAAAUAUUGAUAUCCCUUUAGAAGUGGGCCCUAACAUUUACAUUGUCGAAUUCCAAGUCAUGGACAUCUCACCCUCGUAUAACUGCCUUCUGGGAAGGCCCUUGAUCCAUUCUGCUGGAGCAAUUCCAUCCUCUCUCCAUCAAAAAGUAAAGUUCAUCAUGGAUGGUUGUUUGGUCACUGUCGAGGGAGAAGAAAACAUUAUCGCAUCUAUCUCUCCUGAUGCGCCAUAUCUUGAAGUAAGCAAAGACGUAGUGGAAUGUUCCUUCCGAUCCCUUGAAUUUGUCAAUGCCACUUUUGUCGCUGAGGGAAAUAGAAUUUCGGUGCCAAAACUGUCGAGAAAUACCAGAAUGGGUGUCAAGUUGACUGUAGGAAUGGGAGCUCGAGUGAAAAGAGGUUUAGGGAGAUAUCUGCGAGGAAUUGUCAGGGCUCUAAAGCCAGUACACCACAAGGCUCGAUACAGUUUAGGGUUCCAGCUGGACAUGCGUCAAAGAAGAAAGCAGUGGAAAAAAGAUCAGGAAAGAAGAAUCGCGAGAACAUUAGGCCGAGAACCAGAAUUGGAGCCCAUGAAAUUCCCUUAUUUGUCAAGAACAUUUACGUCUGCGGGAAUGAUAUACCCAGGGCAGUAUAGUGCACAAAGCACAAUGUUAAUGAUCGAAGAAAGUUUUCAGAAUAUCAGUAUAAAUGUCAUUGAAAAAGGAGCUGACGCGAGUAAAGACGUCUCAAAGAUACGCCCUUGUCCCCCGGGUUUCAUGUUGAACAAUUAGACUGCCAAGGAUCUUCUUGUAGUUUAUAAGUCUUCAGAGUAAUGCUCAAACGUUAACAUUCUGUUAUGUCCUUAGAUAUAAUAGAAUUCUUUUGUAAGAGCUUGCAUUCGCUUUUUAUCAUUUAAAUGAAUAUUAAUGAAGAUGCAUUUUGUCAUGAUUUUUCGCAUUAUCACUAAUUCCAUAACCAUUUCAUAGCCUAUCUUUACAUUUGUCUCAUGCCAUACCAUAACAUUCAGUUUGUUGGUCUCAAUACUUGGAUGCCCCUCUAUAGUUUCCUUUUUCGUUCAACUUUCAGGUGCUCAGAUAUCAAUUGCAUGAACAAACCCGUUACAAGUCCUGAAAUCGAUUUUGAGAAAGCUAUUUAUUUAGGAGAAUUCAAAGCCUAAGAAAAUGCUGAAGACUAUGUCUCGUCUCCUGACUUGCUAAGAAUGGUGGAACAAGAGGAUAAACAGAUUUUGCCUCAUCAAGAAUUUGUUGAAACAAUAAACUCAGGAGCUGAAGAAAGGAAGCAAGAAGUGAAGAUUGGGACCUCUAUUUCAGGGGGCACCAGGCAUAAUUCGAUUACUUUGCUCCGUGAGUACAAAGAUGUAUUCGCAUGGUCAUAUCAGGAAAUGCCAGGAUUGGAUGAAGAUGUAGUGGUCCAUAAGCUCCCAUUGAAGCCAGAAUGCAAACCCAUUCAACAAAAGCUAAGACGGAUGAGACUUGAGAUGUUAUUGAAAAUAAAAGAGGAAGUCAAGAAGCAAUUUGAUGCUGGCUUCCUACAAACCUUCAAAUAUCCAGAGUGGGUGGCCAACAUAGUUUCGGUACCAAAGAAAGACAGUAAAGAACGUAUGUGCGUGGAUUAUCGUGACCUGAAUCGAGCAAGUCCCAAAGAUAAUUUUCCCUUACCACACAUUGAUACGUUAGUGGAUAACACAGCAAAACAUUCAUUAUUUUCUUUCAUAGAUGGAUUCUCAGGGUAUAAUCAGAUCAAGAUGGCCCCUGAGGAUAUGGAGAAAACUACCUUCGUAACAAUGUGGGGAACAUUCUGCUACAAGUUGAUGCCAUUUGGGUUAAAGAAUGCUGGGGCAACAUAUCAGAGGGCUAUGGUAACGUUAUUCCAUGACAUGAUGCAUAAAGAAAUAGAGGUUUAUGUCGACGAUAUGAUUGCUAAAUCCCGAGGGAAAGAAGAGCAUAUAGUGAACCUGAAGAAGUUGUUCGACAGACUGAGAAAGUUUCAGCUAAAGCUCAAUCCGGCCAAAUGUACGUUUGGGGCUACCUCAGGAAAAUUGCUUGGCUUCAUUGUCAGCGAGAGAGGCAUUGAAGUUGAUCCAGAUAAAAUAAAAGCCAUCCAAGAGUAACCACCUCCGCGCAUGCAAAAGGAAGUCAGAGGAUUUUUAGGGAGACUAAACUACAUCGCCCGAUUUAUCGCUCAACUUACCAACCAAUGCGACCCAAUCUUUCGACUCCUUCGAAAACGUAAUCCCGGAGAAUGGAACGAGGAGUGCCAAGUGGCUUUUAACAAGAUAAAACAGUAUUUGUCUAGUCCUCCAGUGCUAGUACCACCAAUGCCGGAAAGACCAUUAAUAUUGUAUUUGACUGUGUUCGAGAAUUCAAUGGGUUGUGUACUGGGGCAACAUGACGAGUCCGGAAAGAAAGAAAAGGCGAUCUACUACCUCAGCAAAAAAUUCACUGAAUAUGAGGCAAAGUAUUCGUCCAUAGAAAAAUACUGUUGCACUCUGGUUUGGGUAGCUCGGAGACUCAGGCAAUAUAUGUUGUAUCAUACGACAUGGCUAAUUUCAAAGUUGGACCCAAUAAAGUACAUGAUAGAAUCACCUGCACUCUCAGGAAGAAUGGCACGAUGGCAGAUCUUACUAUCAGAAUAUGAUAUCGUCUAUGUGAGCCAAAAGUUGAUAAAAGGGAACGCAAUAGCUGACUUCUUAGCAACUCGAACAACGGAGGAAUACGAGCCAUUGAGAUUUGAUUUCCCAGAUGAAUACUUGAUGUGCAUUACAAAAAAAGAAUGUGAGUCAUCAAAAGAAAAGUCAUGGAAGAUGAGCUUUGAUGGUGCAUCGAAUGCAUUGGGACAUGGGAUUGGAGUAGUCUUAGUAUCACCAGAAGGAAACCAUUACCCACUCACUGUCAGGCUGAACUUUUUCUGUACCAAUAACAUAGCAGAAUAUGAGGCUUGUAUCAUGGGACUUCGUGCAACAAUUGGACGAAACAUCAAAACUUUAGAGGUAUACGGAGACUCAGCCUUGGUGAUAUACCAAAUCCGUGGAGAUUGGGAAGUGAGAGAUUCGAAACUGGUCAAAUACAGUGAUCUAGUGGCAGAGCUGAUUAAAGAAUUCGAAGAAAUAACUUUUAAUUACCUCCCACGAGAAGAAAACCAAUUGGAUGAUGCCCUGGCCACUUUGGCUUCAAUGUUCAAAGCAAACAAAGAAACAGAAAUAAUGCCUCUUCAAAUGAGCAUAUAUGAAGUCCCUGCACAUUGUUUCAGCAUUGAAAAAAAGCCAGAUGGACGGCCAUGGUUCCAUGAUAUCUUAGAAUAUGUCAAGAACCAAAAGUAUCCCGAACAAGCAAAUGAGAAUGACAAACGAACAAUCAGAAGAAUGGCAGCGAGAUUUUUUCUUGAUGGGAACAUCCUAUACAAAAGAGGAAAAGAUCAAGUGCUCUUGAGAUGCGUAGAUGCUGUUGAAGCCAGAAAAAUACUUGAAGAUGUCCACAAGAGAAUUUGUGGGACACAUGCCAAUGGUUUCACUAUGGCCUGGAAGAUUAUGAGACUCGGUUACUACUGGCUGACGAUGGAAAGCAACUGCAUUAGUUUUGCAAGAAAAUGCCACAAAUGUCAAAUUUAUGGCGAUAACAUUCAUGUAGCCCCUUCACCCCUUCAUGUCAUGACUUCUCCAUGGCCCUUUUCUAUGUGGGGUAUGGAUGUUAUAGGGCCAAUUUCCCCAAAAGCUUCUAAUAGACACCGGUUCAUUUUUUUGGUUAUUGAUUACUUCACAAAAUGAAUAGAAGCUGCUUCGUUUGCCAAUGUGACAAAGACUGCAAUUUGCGGAUUUUUGAAAAAGGAAAUCAUUUGUCGAUAUGGUUUGCCUGAGAGAAUCAUUUCAGAUAACGCAUUGAAUCUGAACAACAAAAUGAUGAAGGAAGUGUGUGAGCAGUUUCAAAUAAAGCAUCAUAACUCGUCACCCUAUCGCCCGAAAAUGAACGGAGCUGUUGAAGCAGCCAACAAGAAUAUUAAGAAGAUUAUUGAGAAAAUGACUGAGACAUAUAAAGAUUGGCACGAUAAGCUACCAUUUGCUUUGUAUGCAUAUCGCACAUCUGUACGGACAUCUACGGGGGCAACUCCUUUCUCUCUGGUCUAUGGAAUAGAAGCUGUGCUACCUAUCGAAGUUGAGAUCCCCUCUUUACGAGUCUUAAUGGAUUCAAAACUAGAGGAGGCAGAAUGGGUUCGAGCUCGAUAUGACCAGUUAAACCUCAUCAAAGAAAAAUGUUUAAAGGCAAUUUGUCAUGGACAGAUGUACCAGAAGAGAAUGAUCGCGGCCCAUGACAAGCAAAUACGGCCAAGAGAAUUCCACGAAGGAGAACUCGUGCUGAGAAAGAUUCUUCUAAUACAGAAGGACUUACGAGGAAAAUGGGCACCAAAUUGGGAAGGACCAUAUAUCGUAAAGAAGGCAUUCUCGGGCGGAGCUUUGAUUCUCACUGAGAUGGAUGGGAAGGAGUUACUGAAUCCAGUGAAUUCAGAUGCUGUGAAGAAAUAUUAUGCUUAAAAAAGGAAAAUCAAGAUGAAAACCCGAAAAAGGGCAUCUUAAAAAAAAGAAAAAAGAAAAAGAGAGAGGGAUCAAGGUGAAAACCCGAAAAGGGCGUCUUGAUUAACACAAAAGAUUAGGAUGAAAACCCUAAAGGGCGUUCUAAUGAAGCAAGCACUGGCUUAAAAAGCAAGGCAUUUUGAACGGUGGGUCAAACAGAGAGACUACAAUAUUUGAAGCAUUUUUGAAAACUCGAAAUCUCUUACGCAAGAAAGCCAUGCUCGAAAAGAUUCUUGAUUGAGGAACGUGGAAGAGUUCAUACGUUGAAUAUCUAGAGCAUUUGUAUUUGUUGAAAUGCGAUCCCCUUUCUCUUUAUGACACUUUUUUUUUACUAUCAUUGAUUAACUUUCUUUGUUUGCUACAUUUGAAAUGAAUAAAUGUGAGUAUCCUUUUGUCCCUACCUAAACAUUUUCAUGCAUCUCAUUAUGUGGUUCAUUUACAUGAUAAAUAGUGAAAUGACAUACUCUAAACAAAAGAAGUGCUAAGCAUUACCCGGAUAAGAAUUUGAUAAGUACAAGAGCCUCAAAGCAAGGACAAAGUUCAACCAGGGGCAAAAAAGUGAUAUCUGAGAAACGCAGAUUAGUCGUGAAGCUAGAGGAUGGGUACAGGGCCUGAAGAGAAAGUCAAGAGUCAAAGCAAUGAACGCAGAUCAUCAAAAAUCAUGACAGAAAGAGACAUAUGACAAGCAAGCCCAAGGCACAUAGCAUGAUCAUGUAGGCAUAAAGGCAUUUAAGGCAAACAUGUGCUUUUCAUGAUAACAUCAUGCAUGACAUAUACAUGUAUUUUAGCAGAACAAGAGAUUUCGAUAAUAGCUGUACUGAAUCAAAGGAAAGGACACCUGAGUUCCACCAGAUGAAAUCUUUUGGUAUUUUGAUGUUUUUAUCUCUAUCUUUCAAAAAAAUCAACUCAUAUUGCGAGAGGUGAGUUGGGCCUCAAGUCACACGCUGAGGUAUUUUCAAUUUUCGUUUUUUCAAUUUAUGCUUUUCAAAAAUCAACUCAUAUUGCGACAGGUGAGCUGAGCCUCGGGGCACGCCGAGGUAUUUUUAAUUUCUGUUUUUCAAUUUCUACUUUUAAUUUCUGUUUUUCAAAAAUCAACUCAUAUUGCGAGAGGUGAGUUGAGCCUCAGGGCACGCUGAGGUAUUUUCAAUUUCUGUUUUUCAAUUUUUUCCUUAACAAAUUCUGCUUUUCAAAUCAACUCAUAUUGCGAGAGGUGAGUUGAGCCUCAGGACACGCUAAGGUAUUUUCAAUUUUCGUUUUUUUUAAUUUAUGUUUCUAAAAAAAUCAACUCAUAUUGCGAGAAGUGAGUUGAGCCUCAGGACACGCUGAGGUAAUUUCAAUUUUUGUUUGUCAAAACUCAACUCAUAUUGCAAGAGGUGAGUUGAGCCUCAAGGUAUUUUCAAUUUCUGUUUUUCAAAAAAAAAUCAACUCAUAUUGCGAUAGGUGAGUUGAGCCUCAGGACACGCUAAGGUAAUUUCAAUUUUUGUUUGUCAAAAAUCAACUCAUAUUGCGAGAGGUGAGUUGAGCCUCAAGACACGUUGAGGUAUUUUCAAUUUCUGUUUUUAAAAAAAAUCAGCUCAUAUUGCGAGAGGUGAGUUGAACCUCAAGACACGUUGAGGUAUUUUCAAUUUCUGUUUUUCAAAAAAAAUCAACUCAUAUUGCGAUAGGUGAGUUGAACCUCAAGACGCUGAGGUAAUUUCAAUUUUUGUUUGUCAAAAAUCAACUCAUAUUGCGAGAGGUAAGUUGAACCUCAAGACACGUUGAGGUAUUUUCAAUUUCUGUCUUUCAAAAAAAAUUAGCUCAUAUUGCGAGAGGUGAGUUGAACCUCAAGAAGCUGAGGUGUUUUCCAUUUCUGUUCUUCAAUUUCUGUGUUUCAAAAAAAUCAGCCCAUAUUGCGAGUGGUGAGUUGAGCCUUGACUCACACGCUGAGGUAUUUUCAAAUUCUGUUUUUCAAAUUUUGUUUUUCCAAAAAAUCAACUCAUAUAACGAGAGGUGAGUUCAGCCUCAGGACACGCUGAGAUAUUUUCAAUUUCUUUUUUUUUUCAAUUUAUGUUUGUCAAAAAAAUCAACUCAUAUUGCGAGAGGUGAGUUGAGCCUCAGGUCACACGCCGAGGUAUUUUCAAUUGAUUUUUUUUUUCAAUUUAUGCUUUGCAAAAAUCAACUCAUAUUACGAAAGGUGAGUUGAGCCUCGGGUCACAUACCGAGGUAUUUUCAAAAUCUGUUUUACAAAUUUUGUUUUAAAAAUCAACUCAUAUUGCGAGAAGUGAGUUGAGCCGUGGCUCACGUGCUGAGCUAUUUUCAAUUUCUGUUUUUAAUGUCUAGUUUUAAAGAGUCAAUUCAUAUUGCGAGAAAUGAGUUAAGCUUAGGAUCACAUGCCGAGUAAAGAAUAAAGAUUGGAAUUAAUCGAAGACACAGAUUUUAUAUCCCUGAAGUUACAGUGAAGCUAAUUGAAGUUGCAGUGGAGCUGAUCGAUGAUAUCAGAUCUUGCCUUUCUAAAAGUUGCAAAAGAGAAGACCACAAAUUUUAUCUGACUAAAGCGAUGGAAGAGCAUAUUGAAGUUGUAGAUCUUAUCUUUUUGAAGUCACCUUGGAGUAAAUCGAAGCUACAAGGCAUAUAUCAGAAGAUGCAGUGGAUUUGAUCAAGACAACAAGAUACAGUGGUUUGGAAAGAGACUACCUGGAUGAGAAGAGCACCAAAGAAGUCCAUACUUAGUAAGACCGGGCAAAAUUGGCCUUUCUUUGUGUCUUUGCUUUAUUCCCGUUACACGAUAAUAAGCAAAGAGGGGCAGCUGUUGUAGGCCAAUUUUAACCCAUUUACAUCAAAACCCAAUUUAACCUUACCUAACCCACCAAAAUUAAACCCAAAACCCAAAAUCUUAACUACCCAAAGCCUAAUUUACAUUAAAACCCUAAUGGCCCAAACCCUAAACCCAAAUCAAAAUAAAAAAACCCUAGCCCACAACCUAAACUUUUCUCAACUAAAUCCUAGCCUUUGCCACCACCAACUCCACUAGCCACACUUGCUUCACCACCUACUCCAUUAGCCACACUUGCUCCACCACCACUUUUACCUACAAAUGAAGACAUAAACAAUAAAAAAUAUUUUGUAAAUGGCUAUACAAGCCUUCUCAUAUUUUGUAUUUAAGGGAGGAAGAAGUUUUGGGGGAGAAAGUGAUGGUAAAGGAUUUUUGAGAGGUUUUUUUUAGAGUAAUCAAGGAGAAGAGUUAUUGUAAAGGCUAGUUUUUGGAGAGGCUAGUUUUUUUUUGGAGAUUAAUCAAAUAUCAAAGCAAAAGAGGUUUCUUGGUCUAUUCUCGUUUUAAGUUCUUUAUUUGCUUAUUGUUUUCCUUUCAGUUUUAUUUUGUUUCUUUUAUACGAAAGUAAAAAUAAAAGGAGGAAGCUUUCCCAUUUUUACCAAAAAAGUUUUUUUUUAGGUCCGGCUGCCGUGUACGGUGGCACCGAUGGUGGCCGGCGGCGGUCCGGUGACCAGACGGUGGCCGGCCUUGUGGCCGGAAAUCACCCACUCUCUCCCUCUCUUUUUUUUGUUAUUAUUAUAUUUCUUAAUAUUAUAUUAUAUAUAUUCUUUUAAUAUAUUAGGUAUAUUCUAAAUUCUAUAUUACGUAUAUAUAUUAUACUAUUUUAUGUAUAUAUCUUUAAUACUAUAUUAUUUAUAUUUUUUUUCUACAUGUUAUCUUAUGUAUAUAUUUUAAUUAUAUUAUGUAUGUAUUUUUUACACUAUAUUAUGUACAUAUUUUUUUAUAUCUAUUUUAUACAUAUGUAUAUAUUAUAUAUAUCUUAACAUUACUAGUUAUAUUUUCACUAUUUUAUAUAUAUACUUCAAACACUAUAUAUAGUAUAUUUCUAACACUAUUACUAUUUAUAAAUAUAUAUAUAUUUUACGUACAUACUCUUAAUAUCUUUAUUAUGUAUAUAUUCGUUGUUUUUAUUUCACAUUGGAUACUAUUAUUACAUUUAAUAUAUCGCAUGCAUUGUUAUUGUUUUAAUAUUGUUGUCAUAUUUAUUAUUUGUUUCAAUGUAUUUCCAACUCGUUUAUUUUUGUCUCCCGCCUAUUUUAUAUCAUUCUGUUGUUCAUUAUUUUAAAGAUUUUUAUUCAUGUUUUUACUAAUUUCAAUAAAUAAGGCAAUGUUUCGCAUUUUGGAACAUCGAAGAAUUGUGCCCUAACUUACGGGGUUUCGAUUCUCUUGUUGGUUCUAAAUAGCUAAAUAUCCUUUUGAGUUUUGAAAUGCACGGAUUUCCAAUUUAAAUUAAAAGACGACCUUGUGCUCGGGAAUUCAUGGUAUUGUGUCCUAACUUACGGGAUGUGAUACUCCAAUAUCUCGAGAUAAGGAAAUCUUUAAACAAUUCGAUUUAAGCUAAUUCAAGAAUUUUAAAAUCAGUAUUAAUAGAAAAGAUCGUAUUUCAAGUCCCUUCCCGAUUUUUAAUUUUCGACAUUAAGACACUAACUAAUCAAUUCGGUACCAAUUUUUUGGGCGUGUCGAGGGUGCUAAUCCUUCUUCGCACGUAACUGACUCUCGAACUCAUUCUCUCAAGUUUCGUAGACCAAAGGCCCUGUUUUAGUAAACUAAAAUUGAUUUCUUAAAACAAAGGUGAUCCGAUCACACCUGAUAAAAGAUUGGUGGCGACUCCUAUUUUAAUUUUCACUUUCAAACAAAGUCGAUCCCCAUUUUUAAAAGAAUGGCUUCAACAUAUAUAAAUAAAUUUAAUCAUCAAUUCUAUGAUUUUUACAUUCAAUGAAGCCCACUUCACAUUUUAGGCAAAAGUACCAUUUUGCCCCUAAACUUUUGAUUAAUUCCAAUUUCGUCCCUAGGCUCGGAAAUUGAAAUUCAUGCAAUUUACUCCUUAUUCCAAGCUUAUUCAAAAUUUCAAUAUAGCUUUUACAGCACAUGUAUUUCAUAAUUUUCAAAAUUUUUCCAAGAAUUUCACUGCUUUGUAAUUUAGUCCCUACACUUAUUUUCACUAAAAAUCACCUUGUAAAAGUGAUUUAUCUAUCAAUAAUAUUUCAUUUUCUAUCAAAAACUUUCAAUUUAAAUCAUAUUCAUCCAUAGAUAAUUUUAUAAACUUUGAUUUUCUUUCAAUUUAAUCACCCAAAUAAAGAAAUUAAGCUUUCCCGAUCUCAAAAAUAUAAAAAACACUAAAAACGGGACAUAGAACUUACCAAAUCAAGCUUGAGAAAUUUCAUUUCUCUCUCCUAGGGUUUCCAUGUAUUUUAUGAAGAAGAAGAAGAUAUAAAAUGGAUUUAAUUCUAUUUAGUCAUUUAUUAUACUUUAUUUAAUUCAAUUUUCAAUUUAGUCCUUAACCUUUUUCAAUUUUUCCAUGGAUGACUUACUAAAAAUAUCUACAUGUUUUUCAUCAAUGGUCUAAUUGUCAUAUAAGGACUUCUCAUUUUUAAUCCUAUAGCUAUCUAAUCCUUAUAACUACUAGAAUUCAACCUUGACAUUUUAUUCAAUUUAGUCCUUUUUGCAAUUAGACACAUAAUUGAUAAAAUUUUUUGAUAAAAAUUUUCAUGCAAUAUUCCUAUCAUAAUACCUAUCAUUUUAUGAAAUUUAAAUAAUUUCAUUUUUUGGACUCGGAUUGUGAUCCCGAACUGAAAUUGAGCAGUUACAUUUUUUAUUCACAUCAAGAAUGAAACUAAAGAAAAAUUUAUACUUUUUUUAUUGAUUUAUUUAUUUUUAAUUAUUUUUUUGCUGUAGAGCUACCACUAGAUUGAAUAUCAGUGUCACACCAACACAAGCUAACAAUGUUAGUGGAGAGGUACCACCAACCAAUGUAGUGUCACACCAACACAAACUAACAAUGUUAGUAGAAAAGUACCACCGACUAAUGUGACAGAAUACAAAUUUAGGUACCAACUAAGUAUUUUUGUACAAGUUUAAAGGAAAAAUUACAUAUUAACCCUGUAGAAGGCCCAUUUCGCCCAGGCCUUUAGAUCUAUUUACAACAAAGGAAUAAACUAAAAAUAAAAACCAAAAUAUAAAUUAUAAACCAAAAAUAAAAAUUAAAAUUGUUUACAGUCCAUAAAUACAAACCUAAAUAUAAAUUGAAGCCCAAAUUAUAAAACCCACUUCACAAAUAAGACUAAGGCCUGUCCUAGCCCUAAAUACAAAUUCCUAACCCAAUUGAAACCCGACCCAGUUACUGAGAACCUAAAACAGACCCAAUUCCAGAGGCCCAAAGGCAGAUUGGCCCAGGUAGCCUGGGCAGGUGAUGUUUCUGGAAACUCAGGGUUCCCUCGUGCUGCAGUGCCCACGCCUGGCUUCCUCCGUACGACCAUCUCCGCGAUAGAACCUGCGAGAAGAAACAGCUAAGCAAUACCAAUAACAAAAUACAAAAUAGCCAGCAAAUGUAUAGCAAAAUCGAAUGCUUUUUUAUAUUUUUCUUCUAUUAUUUAUUCUAUAAAUCGGCUAUAAAAAGGGGCCGAAUGUAAUUUAUAAAAGUCUCUAGACUUUUUCGAAUACAAAGCAAACAAAGAAAUUACUCAAAGUUAAAAGGUGAUUUUCGAUUGAUUUUAUUUUUGAAGUUCUUUUAUUUUAUUUUGGUGUGUAAAAGUAAUAAGAAAGGGAAGAAAUCGCUCGCCUGAAUCCUCUCAAUCGCGUCGUCGGAGGGCCUUCUCCGUCGCUGCAAUCGGAUUUGACAAAAGGACGGAGAGCCUUCUUCCUCUGUUUCUUUAGUUGCCGAAGGUCUAGCCUUCAAAAGGGCUUCAAAAGGAGGGCUGAAAAGCUCAUUUUCCACAACAGCGGCCACUGGCCACGACGGCAGUUGAGGGUAUGGAUGGUGGCCCUUUCGGCUGGAAGAAAAGGGGAGGAGAUGGGAGAGUUUUAAAGUUUUAGUUUUUUUUUUUUUUUAGAAACAAGGGUUAAAAUGAUUUUAAAACAAAAAUUUCGAUUUAAGUAGUAAAGGGAAAAAGGCGCCGUUUAGAAGGGUAUUCUCAAAGGCCAAAACGACACCGUUUUGAGCCUCUAACCCGUGACCCAACCCGAUCGCCCUCAGGAUCCGCUUGUUUUUGCAGUGAAGGGAUAUUUGCGCACUUAGCCCCUCCGUUUCGUGCUGUCAUUUGAUUAAACCGUAUUUAUAUAUAUUUUUUUAAUGUUUCCCCAAGAUUUGUGCACUAUUUUAAUUUAGUACGUAUUUAAACGCUGCGUUCAAGAACUUGGUAUAAUUUCGCUUUUAAUCCCCUUUCAUUGGCGCGCAUUGUGUUUUAAUCCCUAAUUCUGUUUUAAUGAUUUAUUUAUAGAUUACCCUUUUAUUUUAUUUUUAUUUCAAUUGAGUUUUUUUUUUUUGAGAUUAUGUUUUUACUCUUUGUAAUUAUUUUAUAUUUUUUAAAAUUUUAUUAUUCGUUUUUUAAAUUAUCUUAACAUGGUUUUUUUUAAAGUAUUUUAUUGAUUCUAUAUUGCUAAUUUGUUAUUUCUUUCAUUUGUAUAUUUUUUAAAAAAUUUGUUCUAUUAUAUGAUUUUUUUUAUGUUAUUUUAAAAUUUUCUUUUAUAGAUAUAUCUUUGUUUUAAAAUUUUAUUUGAUAUCUAUUUUAAAUAAUUUUAUACAUUAUUAUAUUAUACAUUAUUUUUUUGUGUGUAUAUAUUGUUGUUUUUGUAUUAUUUUAUGUAAAUAUUUUCUUUUAAAUCUAUUUAUAUUUAUAUAUGUUUUCUUUUAAAUUUAUAUAUAAUUUAUCUUUUUAAAGUAUAUUUGUUUAUUGCAAACAUUUUUAUAUAUUAUUAUUUCUAUAUAUAUAUAUAAAUAUAUUUAUAAUAAGUUUUUUCAUUUCAUGUGUAUUAUUUAUGUAGAUAGAUUUGUAUUAUUUUGUAUAGUAUGAUUUUCUUCUUAUCUAAUAUUUAUCUCAAAAGUCUUCAUGUAUUACUAUUUAAUAUAUUAUUUAUUUUUAUUUCUAUUUCUUAUUUUUUUAUCUAUUUUAAAAUUUCGCACAUAUUACUUGCUUUUAAAAAUUUUACAUGUGGAUUGUUGUUUGUUAAUGAUUUCAAAUUUCCCUUCUUUCGUAUUAUUCAUGUUUUAUUUAUUUUAAAACUUGUUCCAUGUUAUUUAUGUUAAUUUGCUUGGUAUUUCUUCUAAAAUUGUCUUUUAAUUCAUUGACCUUCGAGUAUUAAUGUUAGUAUUUGUAUAGUGUAUGAUGUGCUGCCAUUGUAUGUACUUUAAUUUGGCUCUUUCAUAUUUUUCAUAUGAUUAUUAUUCAUUUGCAUAGUAUUAUUGCCAUGUAUUAUUAUUCCAUGUUCGCAAUUAUGCUUUUAUUUCUUGUCACCGCAUCGUGAUUACAAUUUCAACUUUUGCCCAAUAUCGAUUGUCUUUUAUUUUUAAGUAAACCAAACAAAUAUAUUUUGAGUUGGUCUUAUAAUCGCUUAUUUGAAAAGCCUCUUGAAACAAGGCAAUAUUUCGUAUUUGAAAAUUCAAGAAAUCGUGCCCUAACGUACUGGGUUUCAAUUUUUCGUUGCCCAAAUAACCAAAUAUCCUUUUAAAAUUUCAAUGCAUGAAUUUUGGAAAUCAUGAGAUGGUCUUGGUAUCGAGGGUUUGAAAUAUUAUAUCCUAACAUGCUAAAUAUGAUAUUUUAUUCCUUCGGAACAAGUGAAUCUUAAUAUCCAAUUUGGAUUAUCCAAACAUGUUUUAAUGGAGUUGUAUUUUAAAUCUUUUCAAAUUUUUAACAUUAGGACAUUAAUUAAUCAAUAAGGUACCAAUUUUAGGCGCUACGGGGUGCUAAUCCUUCCUCGUGAGUAACUAACUCCCGAAUCCGUUUUCUUAAAUUUCGUAAGCUAAAAUCAAUAUUUUAAUAAAAUAAAAAUGUUUUAUAGGUGCCGAUCACACUUAAACAAAAAAGAUUGGUGGCAACUCCAUUUUCGUUUUUAAAGCCGAUUCCCAUUUUUUUCAAAAUAUAAAAAAUAAUUUCAACAAACCCUUUCAAAAUUACUAUCAAAAUACACUUUAUUAACUUACUGGUGCUUAGGGAGAAAAUACUUUUAAGUUUGAUAACAUAAACUUUAUUAAGGUUAGACCCGAGGGCAAUGCUAUGGGCCUAGGAGGACUCGACUCCCCCUAAAAUAAAAUAAAAAAUUUAAUCUUUUAAAAUUUUAUAAAAAUUUGUAAGCUAAUAUAUUAUAAAAUUAUACUUUUAACUCACAAAAUUAAUAAAAUUUUGAUUUAAUUCUUUAAAAUAUUAAAAAGAUAUAAGCUAUUAAAAUGAUAAAUUUACAUUUUAGCUUUUAUAAAAACAUACAAAUUAACUUCAGUCCUCCAAAACAAUUUCCUAACUUCAUCCAAAUACCCAAAGAGUCUAUUCUUGUAUCUUGAGUACCAAAUCCGAGAUGAUCCAUCGGGCCAAUAUUGCAGAUUUUAAGCAAACAGAAGCUCAUAAAAGUGUGGCAAAAUUGUAGCCCAUGUCAAAGGUCAUAUAUCAUUGACUGCAAGAUGAGCAGCCAAGCCAAGUUCAGCUUCAGUUAGUGAGCACGGUUCACCAUGUUGAAACCCCCUAAUCCGAGGCUUAUACAUCCAAAGCCUCAUAUGUCAAUCCGAGUUUAAGAUAUUUGGGAUGUAAUGAAGAAUACUAUCCUCCAAGGUAUACGGAGUUUCAGGAGCAGUAGAUCAAUAUAGCAAGGCAUUUUCAGUAACCCAAGAAGAGGUGCUAUGUCAGGAUGCCGGAGGCCUCCCGGGAUACAUAGUCUCAUCAAAUAACUACAGAUACAAAAAUGGGCAAGAGAAACUUAGCAGGAGGGUUACAGGCACAACAUUCAUCAUUACCCUAUCCUGCUAAACAAAAACCGAGAUUCGCCCAACAAUUUCAAUCACCAUUUUGCAAAGGCACAAGGAAAAUUGGAGAGAAAACGAUGAUCUUACAGGUACUUCCGUAGACUCAACAAAUAUGCUUUAAGGGAUGCCUAGAUAUUUGAUAAUCAUAAGGCUGUGAAGCUAUAUAGACCUAACAAGUUUAGACUCGAUAUGAUUAAACAACAAACACCAACCCGAUACAAAUAAACAAACAUGCAAAAAUGUAUAUAAGACGAAUUAUUAACGCGACUAUGACACAUGAAAAUACACAAAUACGAUACAAACAAAUGAAUUGCCGAGUCUAAGGCUAUGCAAAUUGCAAUGCAAGUAUCUCAAACAAUAGAAAAUAGAUCGAAAACGACAUACUCAAACAAUAGAAAAUAGAUCGAAAAUGACAUUCUAAGACAUUAUUAAUAGCAAUCAGUUAUAGACUGUCACGAACAUUACAACAACAACAACAACAACAACAGCAGCUUUAACGAGCAUACAUACGAACAAGCAGGUUCCAUGAUGGGAAAGUUAUCUAAGUUUCGGUUUUUUCCUUCUUCCCCAAGAACUGUAAACCGAAUGCGAAGCCUAAGAUCAAGAGGGGUACCAGGAACUGUAUAAUCUUAAACAGAAAGCCAGGCUCGUCUUGUUGAGUUGCCGCGGUUGACGUCUGUGCUUUGUAUGUCCUUCGUGCGGGAAUGGUGGUGGCAUCGACCUCACCAAUAUAGUACUUCUGCAUCUGCUCUCUUGCAUCAUCACUGUGACCUACGUCUUCGAAAUCAUCGGUCGCAUCUUUUCCUAUAUAAUUAGGUAUUGAUAUGUUACAACAUAUAUAUAUAUACAGAUACGAAUCCGGCUAGCUAUAUGAACAUUAAGCUCGUAAUUGUCGGACAAGAGCAUUGAACAAACAUCUUACCACUAGCAGCAAGCAAAACUUCAUCUCCACCAGGAUGGUCCUCCAAGAAUUGGGUUACAUUAUACACCUUAAAGAACAUGCAAGGGUAAGCUAAUCAUUAAAUUAAAUUGCUUCCAUUAUUAUACUAAUUACUUUAAAAUCUCCAACCAGAGAUUUUUUUUGGGGGGGGGGAGAUCAAUAAUUUUCCCAUAAUUUCAUCAAAGAUGCACCUCUUCUGCAGAAAAAAAAGAUCUAAUUUUGCUUACUUUUUAUACCUAUGAAUUUCCAUUUCUUCACAGUUCAAUCCAAAAACAAAUUAAAAAAACCUAGCUUUGCAUAUUCCACAGUUCCAACUACUUAAAUAAGUAAAAAAAAACUACAAAAAGGGGGAAAACCCAAAUCAGAUUCAUCCAAAAAUGAAAUGAAAACCAAACCUUUCCAGAGAUCAAAAGCCAACAAUCAUUUCUGUCUUUGUGCUUCACCAGAUCUUCAUAAACAAAUACCUUUUCUCCUGAACCCAUUUCUUGAACUACAAAAUGAAAAGAAAAAAAAAGAGAUAAAUUCAACAGAAAAAGCACAGUGAAGUGCAGAAAUUGACAAGUUUUAUAAG